CGCCUCGCCGCCGUUCCCCGCAACCCCCUGUCUGUCGACCCAAUUCAUCUCAGGGAUAUCACCCGACGCCUCGUCCUCCUCUCCAGAUCAGAUCUUACGCCCGCCCGCCCGAGGUGAGCACAUGCUUGUACAUCCCGAUCAGCUUGGAGUUCGUUCCGAUUGGUUGGUAGGCGCGGCGCUGGUUCGAGGCCAGCGUGGUCUCCCUCCUCCUCCGGAGUUGCUCGGGCGCGGCGCGGGUUCAUAGGUGUCGGAUCCAGCGCCGUCUGUAUCCUAUUCGUAUGAGGAACCUCGGCUAGGAUAGGAUUUAAUUAGUUGGUUUUUGUAUUAGGGUAACACCACCUAGGGUUCGGUUGAUUAUCCGUAAGAAGGAAUCAAUCUGACGCUUUAGUUAGGGUUUGCUUGGUUGGUUGUGGUCAGAUUUUGGUUUCUCAUGAAUUCUUCAACUGUGCCUGUCGCGAUUUUGGGCGGAAAUUGAUGAUUGAUUUCGGGGGCAAAAUCCGAGGGAUUUUGUGGAUGAAAGAUGGGGAAACUUGGGGAAACCAAGCAAAUCCAUGGAUCAAAAUAAACAAACUUCAUCAUGCCAACAAAUCACAAAAAAAAUUUGGUGGGGAAAUUUCGAAUUAGGACGAAAAACAACAAGAUCAAAGCUAGAAAACGAAUAUUAAUUUGGAUGGAAUUCAUGCUAUGUUGUUCGAUUUCAGUUUAUGCCUGCCAGAAUGUUUUAAUUUUUUGUUUUAUCAACUGUGUUGGAGCGUACUAGAUUUUUUGUUGCAUAUUCAUCUUCUUGCUCUGUUUGGAUAGGUAACAAUUAAUAUUUGGGAUCCUAAAAUAUGUAUGCACUGGCAGCACUUAACCUGCAGCUGCUGAUUAAUGUUGUAGUCAUAUGUGCUGCUUUCCAGCUCUCUUGUUUGGAUAGGUAUUUGGUUAUCGUUUGGGUUUAUUUAUUAUCGUUUGUAAAUGCUGGUUUGGUUUUCUGUGCUCACUAUGCCCUUGCACAUGGGAUGCAAUUUUUUUAUUUCCCUGCUGUUUAGUUUAUUGUUUCCUUUGAUGGUGAGGCAUUAAUUCUGGAGAUAGAUGCAAUUUUCUUGCUCACACAAUAAUACAAUGAAUGAUGGCAUCUCUAUCUACUUUGAACCAAAUUAUAUUAUAUUCCCCCCUCUGUUAAUUAUUUUUCUGUUUUGGGUAUUCAUUCAUUUUGUUUAGUUGCCUAUCAGUAUAAAUACAUGGCUGGAUUGCUUUCACUUCAUAUUAAUAACUAUUCUGUCGCACAAUGCAAAUAUACAUAUGCUGUCCUAACUAAUUAAGUAGAAGCUUGGAUUGGUGCUGUAUGGUCUCUUCCUGACAUUAAAUCCUCCUCUGUUUGUGCUGUCUGUUUCUGCUGCUGCAGUCUUCUUCGCCGCCAAAAGGAAAAGAUGCUCUACAAAAUCCACUCCCAUGCCGAAAUCCAAGCCCUGCAGGCCCGCACCGAUGAGCUGGGCCACUCCAAUGAGCACAUGGAUGUGAAGCUUGUCUCUCUGGAGUCGGUGCGCAUAGCGCGCGAGUCGUAUGCACUCCUCCGCCCGCUGAUCAUGGAGUCGAGGUCCUGGGAAUGCCCGGAGCUGGAUUCCCUCUCGGACGUGGCAGGCUUGUCGCUGGAAAUCCAAAAGCUCGAGCAUGAUGUGUUACCCCAGCUCACGGUUCAGGAGGCUAAGCUGGAACGGGGUGCCCUGGAAGCCCUCCUACUCAUGAAGAGCUCAGCAGCUAAGCUCUUACAUAUGAGUAAGUGCUUGAAGGAAGCCUUGGGCGUAUUGCUUGCCGAGGAUGUCAAAAAGCUGAGCAUAGUGCUAAGCGAUACUGCUGUUCAUGUACUCAAAGGUAAGUUCAACAGUGGCUUGCUUCAGGAGCGUGUCCCGUGGCUGGUCGAGCUGGUCACCGAUGUGUUGGAGACCCCGGUUCGUUUCUGUGAUACUCGUAAGCGUAAGUAUUCUGAUGAGUAGACUUAUCAGCCAGCUCGAGGCUGUUGUGAUAAAUAUUUCUUAGGGGCGUGGCAAACAGUUUAGAAUCAACCCUUUAUGUUUGGAUGUGUUAUUAAUGGAUUUUAAAUAAUAUGUAUCUUGGGUAGUGUUUUCUCAUUCUGUGCUAGUCGGGUACAACUUGCAAUUACUUUCAGUUUUUUUUUUGAGAAAUACAGUCACAUGGAGGUAUUCGCUCUUUUUGGGAAUAUAUGCCAAAAGAAUAUACUCCCUCCGUUCCUAAAUAUUUGCCUUUUUAAGGUUUCAAAUAGACUACCACAUACGGAUGUAUAUAGACAUGUUUUAAAGUGUAGAUUCACUCAUUUUGGUCCGUAUGUAGUCAUUUGUUGAAAUCUCUAGAAAGACAAAUAUUUAGGAACGGAGGGAGUAGUAUCUUAGAAAAGAAAUCCCAAAUAUAAGUCUUUUAAGAGGUUUCACUAAAAGACUACAUACGGAUGAAUAUAGGCAUACUUUAGAACGUGGAUGGAUUCACUCAUUUUGCUCCGUAUAUAGUUUUCUACUAGUGAAAUUUCUUAAAAGACAUAUAUUUAGGAACGGAGGGAUCUGUGAGUGUCCAUGAUUAAAGCUUUGCAAAUACCAUAAACAAAACAUCACCUUGUACAUAUAAAGUGAUGAUUAUUUUUACACUAACCGGUUUGGCAAGUGUUAGAGUUUAAUUAACGUGUGUUAAUUAUGGGGUAAAUCUCUCCUUGUAACUGCCAUCUCUCCCGGAUGCCUCUUCAUCGCAUCCCUUCUCCUUGUAUAAAUGCUUACAAUCAUCUAAUGAAAGGGAUAGAGGAUUCACUUUUCUCUCAACACGUUAUCAGCACGCUCUGGCGAGAGCAGAAGGCCACGAGAGAUUAGGCCAUCCCGGCGGUUACGGAUGUUACUUUCGUCGCCGAUGGCUUACAGGCGAUGCAACCGGAAGCGGUUCCAUUGAGCGCUCGCGGCGAGACAUCUUCCGGUGACGAGGCGAUGGAGCCCAGGUGCCGGCGCUCGACCGCAGCGUCCUCCAGCGCAUGGUUUGGUCUCACCCUCUCCUUCCCCUUCUCCCAGACGCCGUCCACAGUGGCCGCAUAAGCGGCCCUCUCCGGCACGGCCUACCGCGGCGCAUCUGCGACCCCGGCCUGCUACGCAAGGCACGGCGGCGUGGCAAGCGCCUCCCGACCGGAGACUCGACGCCUAUUGCGGGGAACAACCCGGCCUCGACCUCCCGGCGCGCGGAGCCCACAGCGGAUCGCAGAUCCUCGACAGCGGCGCACCCGCAUCUUCUACGUCGAAGACGGGCGAUGGAGGCGAGGCAGCCAGCGCCCGACGCGGCUCCCGGCAUCCACGUGGAGUUCCUGCAGCCACGGUCCUACCCGUGGUGAAGAUGGAGCGGGCUCUCCCUUCAGCUGACUGUGUGCAGCCCGCCCCCGAUGGUCGGCACAGGCCUCCUCCGGCGCGGCGAGGCCCAGAGUGCGAACGGUGUCGUUUCCACCGCCAGACUACGGCGGUGGCGACCCUCGACCUGCGCUCCUUCCUCCGGCCGGCUGGUGCGCGGCUACGCGGAGCGGGACGUCGAGUACGGCCUCGGCCCGGUCCUUCUCGCGUAGCCAUGGCCCUGCCCCUCGGCCUAGGUUGACGCGGACCUCCAUGGCACGCGGCGCGGUGCCCGUGGCGUCGUUCAGCGUACGCCGACGAACUCCGGUGCGAGGCAACUCAGCACCGCGCGCGAGGCGAAGGCAUCCAUGACUGGAUCUCCCGGAAGCGGCGGCGAUGGCUUCUGUGUAAAGCUAACCGAAUCGAUUGAUUCGUGUACUAAUUACAGGCCAACACAGGACAACGAUGGGAACCUUAUCUCUUUGAUGAAGGGUUUUUUUCACAAGUGGCUAUGUAUUUGCAUUGACCAUCAAAUCAGGCCACAGGCUGUGCAUUGGAGACCGUCAGAUAUCUCCAUAUCACAUUUACAAUAUAUGUAAAUGAUGAUUUCAGAUAUACUAUGUGAAAAUGGGACAUGUUCAUCGUAUUUGCUCUCUAUCAAUUCCUUUCAAAUAAUUCAGAUCUUAAGUUGAUGUAAUAUAUUUCCACGUUUACCACGUGUUGAGAUUAAUUACGUUCAUUUGCAAUUGAGAUUUCUCAUCUCUUGCAAAGAUAAAUUCAAUACCUCUGCAGUAUUGUUUCUCCGUUGAGUACGAUGUAUUCCGGAAUAUUUAAAACUAUGAUUGCGAUUGAGAUUAAGUUUUCUCGCACAACAAUAUUGAUUUGCGAUUGAGAAUUUUUUUUCUCGCAAAAUAAUUGCGGUUGAGAUCAAUUUUCUCUUGCAAAAUAUUAAUUCACUUCGCUGAAUUAUCUUGCAAUUUGAUACAAGAUCUCAUUUAAUUUGAGAUCUAUACAAUUCAAGUUUUUCACUUGAACAUCAAGUUUGCAACAUCAUUACUAUUCAUUAUAAUAGUGGUGUAGUUCUGUUGAGUACGAUGUAUUCCGGAAUGUAUGUAUCUCCAUGUUCACUAUAUGUUGAGAUUAAUACGUCUAUUUGCAAUUGAGAUUUUCAAUUUCUUGCAAAUACAUAUGCAAAAUUCAAGGUGAUUUCUUCAAAUUGAUGCUUUUUUUGGGAUCACAAGGUAGUCAUAUGGAUCUACUGCCUACGCAGAUUAUCAAUGACUACUGAUAAAGCCUAUAUUUUGUCGUUUCGACAUUAUGAUUGCUUCACAAAGUGCUCUCCCACCCAUUUUACUAAGUUAUGAAGUAAGGCAUCAUGAGUGAGUAUCUACUGAUUUCAUCAGGUUAUACUCCCUAUGCUGCAGAUCUACUUCAUUUUGGAGAUUAUCUUCAAGAUGUCAUACUUAGCAAUUUGAGAUUGACACUAAUGGUUUCAAGAUAACUUCUUGAAAUACCCAUUGAUUUUGCUAAGUUGAUUACAACAUCAACCACGAUGAUCUUUAAUUUACUGCUGUAAAUUAAUUAUCUUUGGUUUACCCAUAGAGGUAACACAUGGCUAUAGAGUUUGAGGCAUUCACCCUCAAUGGCCACCACUGCCCUAUCUGGGCCAUGGAUAUCAUGAUCGCUCUUGUGUCUCAUGGGAUAAUGUGUGCAAUAGUGUCUUAUAUAUCAUAAGGCAUUAGAUUCAGAUCUCAGCAUCUGCUUAUUCUGAAUCAACAAUUCCUGGAAUACAAUGAACCCCAAGGGCAAAUGUUUGAAUCUUACUUCAACCUUCAAUCCGACAUCACCAGCUGUGACGGAACCCUAUGGGCACAGAGAGUGUGAUGGUUGAAUAUGCCUCAAUCGGCAUGUUUGGAGACUAUGAAUAGUAUCUCAAUCUCCUGAGUGAUCAAUAUAAUUUAUGUCCAUUUACAAUGUUGCAACAUAAGUAUUGUUGUCAUCAUAUAUUGUAUAUCACAAUAUAUUGUAUCAGCACUUUGAUACAAAUACAUUUGUAUGCAUUCUAUAUAUUUGACAGUGAUUUUCAUAUUGAGAAUCUUCAUGUCUAUAUAUAGUUUUCUACGGGAGUCAAUCCGAUGAAAAAUGAUAUGUGCCUUGUGGACAUAUGCACCACAAACUUUAUACUCAGGGAAGCCCAAUGUUUCCACUCUCUUGAGAGAAAGGAGAUAUUUAAAUCGCUAGACGCGAUGAGGUAUUUGUUGGCUCAACUCGAGUCAUAUUUACUAUCCCUGUGGGUACUCGAGUAAUGUCGGGAUGCUUUAUUGCUUCCCAGGUUUAACUCGUACCCUACUAAACUAUGAAGGUAUCCGUCAAAAUAGUUUCCAUAGCGAAACUUAUUAUGACAACAAAGAGAAAUAACUUCUCUUUACCAUAUGCAACGGAUAUGGCAAAUACAUUCUCUGUGUAUCAUCUGGAUUGUACUACACAUACGACACAACCCGUACCACAUGUCGUGUACGUGAUAGUUUUCCAGAGUGUCUUGUACAUGACAUACUUGGCAUACUGGCCUUGGUCAUCGAGACAUUGGGUUGAAACCGAAACUAUCAGCAAUUCCAAUAGUUUACAAUUAUUAUGAUGCCAAAUUCUAACAACAUUUGGAUUUUAUGUGCACUACAAGUGACACAGGGAAGCUAAUUUUAAGGAUCGCACACCUUAAAGUCUACGCUGAACCACUCAGACUCCUUGAAUGCAUCAAGUUGAGGAAACCAUUGGCUCAUUAUCCUGACAUCGAUUUCAAGCAAAUCGAAUGGAUAACAUUGCAACAUUCUCCUUGAGUGCCUUCUCUAUGGCCCUUGGAUUGAAGUUUAGCAAUUUGUCCUAAUGUCUAGACUCCAAAUGGUUUGGUAGAAUCCUAUCCAAAUAGUUAAGCUCAUUACAUUAUCUUUACUUUGGAAUUGCAACUUACCAACUUUACGUUGGAGUCAUGCAGUUUUACACGCUCAUGACAGAACUGCAUAAUAUUAUUCCCCUCUAUCUUUGAUAUGUGGAUAUCUACCAAGUAUUUCCUAUCUGCGGUAAUUCGGUUGCAUACCGAUAUCACCACCCGGCAUACAUCAUUGGCCCCUCAACAUAUAGUUGGGAUCUAUGUGAGGAAUAACUGUAUUUCCGUCAAUACCUCAAGCCCCUCGCAUGGGGAGUUAUUCAAGGCCUGUAUGCUGAUUCAAUGAGGAACAUUUCCAGGCAUUAGGGGGAGAUUUCAAGUACCAUAAAGAAUGCCAGGAAAUUAGUGGAAUGUUCAACACAUUUCUGCCUCAAAUCCACAUACUCAAAGAUCUGAACCAUGCGUUCAGAAGAUUUGCAACACAUUGCAAAUAACCUGCCAGAUUCAUUUACUGACUAUAAAGGUGUCACACAAUCCUACAAUCCUGAAAAAUAUGUCCGAAAGAGUGGAGGUACCAACUAAAACCACUCAACUCCCCGUUCAAAGCAACGGGGGGAGAAGUACGGCAAUAGUACAUCAGGAUUCAGCUUCUCGCAAGCAAGGAUAUCAAGGCCUGUGAAUCAGUAAAUGCAAGUCAACUUCACGUUGACAGACACCUGAUGGGUAGUAUACACCUAGUGGACGGGAAACCUCCACCAACCCAGGUCAUAGUGCACACAAUGACCGGGACAUCGGAAUACCCGACUCAAUCGCAUUGGGAAAUCGCGAGCAGUCACCAUGGGUAACAAUAUUUCCAUCAACUAUAUAUUGAUAUAUAGAUUCUGGAGAAACAUACAACUGGAAGUCUACAAUUGUCGACGUACAUUUCUCAACUAGAUUGCAAAAACCUUUUCAAAUGAUUCAGAUCCAAAGACCAUGGCCAUGGCAAAGUGUGAACAACACUCGGACUGAACUCAAGCAAAGGGUAUAAUCUAGGUAGAAAUGAUCUUGCUCAGUAAUGGCAAGGUAUUCAUAAGCAAUACCUACACCCGUUUUCUUCUGGAAACGGAAUUGAGAACAACAAGGUGGUGAACAGGGAGCAAGUAUUGUAGCACAAGGGUUCACGCAGAUACCCAACUAUUCUCCAGAGGUGGAAUCUCUUUCCGAUAACUUGUAUCAUUGGCAGUACAAAAUCAUCUAUCUCUGCAGUUGAUAGAUGUAGUGAUUACAUAUCCAUGUGGAUCACUAGAUUCAGUGAAUAUGGUUGAUCCCGGAUGGAAUCUCAAUUCUGAAUCGAAAUACAAAAUGCAAACAUGCAUUGUGCAAAUUUAGUAAGUCACCAUACGACUUAUUAUUGUCAGUACAUAUGGUACAACUGACGUAGUGAGAUCCUUAUACACAAGGAUUACUCAUACAAUGAUGAUUAUCCAUGUUUGUGUGUCUGCAAUGACGACACUUGUAAUCAUCUAAAUGGCGGAGUUUAAAAUGAAGGAUUUGGGUAAACCAAAAUACCGCUCGUUACUACAACUUGAGCGCCUUCAUUCAUACAUUAUGGUAUACUAUGUUGUCUAUAUCCAAAAUAUAUUGGAGAAAUUCAUUGUGGACAAAUCUUAUCCAUCCAUAACUCUCAUGGUAGUUCAUUCUCUAGACGUAGAGAAAUAUCUAUUUAGACCAAGAGAUGAUGGAAAUGAGAUAUUGGGACUCAACGUUCCAUAAUGCCAUUGGAUCCACCAAAUAUAAUUGGUUGGUACUCAAGAAUAUCUUUCGAUAUCUCCAAGGCAUCAAACAUCUUGUCCUGGUUUUCAGUUUCACAGGAAUGUGAACACCGAUAUCAUUGGAUACAUCGAUCAGAUCCCCACUAUGUCAGAUCAUAGACAAGCUUAGUGUUCCUACUAGGUGUGGUAGCCCUCUCAUGAAGAGUCUUCGAAACGGACCUUAUGGCUACAUCCACCAACCAUUAUCUCAACGAUAAUGUUUCUUGUGUUGCCCGGAUGCAAACAGGUUACAUAAUAAGUAAUAUCACUAUAUUGCAUAUCUUGCAAGUCAAAUCAGCGACUGAUUUGUUCAGCGAGUCUCUACCAAUUUCUAUGUUUUGGUAUGUGACGACUUUGAAUUUUUGCAAGAAUCAGGGGGAGUAUCUUCCUGAAUUGUUCCUGUUCAAUGCAUCAUAUUAUACUCUUUUUCCCUUCAUGAGUUUACUUUACAGAUUCUCAUAAAGGUUUUUAAUGAGGUAAUAUCAACAUGAGAUCAUAUGUCAUACUUUCUGUUUUCCCCACCGGGGUUUUUGGGAAAGUAUAUACGACAUAUUUAUUGUCCUCUGAACUCUAUGGGUUUUCUCGUAUUGAGUUAAAAGAGACAAUAACCAUUAUAUGUUGUAUCAUUUUCUCCUUAUUUUUCCCAUUGGGUUUGAAGGAGUUUUGGCAACAUAUCAAACACUAUACUCCUCAUAUUUUUCCCACAGGGUUUUUAGAGGAGCCUCUAAUCAAGAUGAUGAUUCUGGAUGAACAAGUGUAGAUUAGGGGGAGUGUUAGAGUUUAAUUAACAUGUGUUAAUUAUGGGGUAAAUCUCCCCUUGUAACUGCCAUCUCUCCCGAACGGAUGCCUCUUCAUCGCAUCCCUUCUCCUUGUAUAAAUGCUUACAAUCAUCUAAUGAAAGGGAUAGAGGAUUCACUUUUCUCUCAACAUCAAGUAGUACUUCCUCCGUAAAUAAAGAAACAUAAGAGUGUUUGGAUUAUCAUUUCUUUAGAGAGGGAGUAGUAUAUAUAUAGAAUUGAAUUAAUAAUCUCUACUCCUAAAGUAUCAGUUGGUCGUCUCUGUUCAUCGGUUAAUUUUCGUCCCACCAACACUGAUUUUUUUUCGUGCUCCCUCCCACCCAACCCCCGGGACAUCGAACAAAAAAAAGGGCUGGCUUAGCUAUGCCCCCACGAAGUCAAGGGGCCAAACCUCCGAUCGAAACAGAGAGAACCGGAUGAAAGAAAAUCUACGAAAAAAGACCUACGAAAUUAAACCAGCGAAAAAAACGAACCGCACGCAGGUAUACGAGCGAUUCCUCCUUCCUUCGAACCACUCGCAUGCUCGAUCCCUUCGUCGCCGCCGCUCCAUCCCUUCGCCCCCACCGCUCGAUCCCUUCGCCGCCGCCCUCGCACAUCAAAGCCGCCACCGAUAUGCCCUGUCGGAUCUCGCCUCAACCCCGCCGUCUUGUGAUACGGAGUUCACAGCCUCUGCCGCCGAUGUCUUCGCACGCGUUAGGGUUCCUGCGUCGCCGCCACACAGGAGCUCGUCGACCAGCCCAGCGUGCUGCUGCUCCGCGCUCGCUUCCCUCGUCGGUCGCCUUUGGAACCCUCGCUUCGGACUCCGCGCCAAGCCGUCGCCUCUUCGCCGAGAAAGAGGGCUCCCGAUCUCCGCCGUGGUCGACCAUCAGCGCGACGGGCAGAGCAACCAGCCCGUAGGCUCAUCCCCUUCUUGGAUCCACUCCGGCAGCGGCCAUCGUUGGUACGUUCCGCUCGUGAUAUAUUGGUGUAGGAUCAUCCCCUUCUCUUUAUCUAAAAAGGCUAUUCUACAUACGCCGAGGAGAAGAUGCUCACCUUCUCGCCCCUGUUGGAAAUAUGCCCUAGAGGCAAUAAUGAAUUGCUUAUUAUUAUAUUUCCUUGUUCAUGAUAAUCGUUUAUUGUCCAUGCUAUAAUUGUAUUGAUAGGAAACAUAGAUACAUGUGUGGAUACAUAGACAACACCAUGUCCCUAGUAAGCCUCUAGUUGACUAGCUCGUUGAUCAAUAGAUGGUUACGGUUUCCUGACCAUGGACAUUGGAUGUCGUUGAUAACGGGAUCACAUCAUUAGGAGAAUCAUGUGAUGGACAAGACCCAAUCAUAAGCCUAGCACAAAGAUCGUGUAGUUCGUAUGCUAAAGCUUUUCUAAUGUCAAGUAUCAUUUCCUUAGACCAUGAGAUUGUGCAACUCCCGGAUACCGUAGGAAUGCUUUGGAUGUGCCAAACGUCACAACAUAACUGGGUGGCUAUAAAGGUACACUACGGGUAUCUCCGAAAGUGUCUGUUGGGUUGGCACGAAUCGAGACUGGGAUUUGUCACUCCGUGUGACGGAGAGGUAUCUCUGGGCCCACUCGGUAGGACAUCAUCAUAUGCGCAAUGUGACCAAGGAGUUGAUCACGGGAUGAUGUGUUACGAAACAAGUAAAGAGACUUGCCUGUAACGAGAUUGAACAAGGUAUCGGAUACCGACGAUCGAAUCUCGGGCAAGUACAAUACCGCUAGACAAAGGGAAUUGAAUACGGGAUUGAUUAAAUCCUCGACAUCGUGGUUCAUCCGAUGAGAUCAUCGUGUAACAUGUGGGAGCCAACAUGGGUAUCCAGAUCCCGUUGUUGGUUAUUGACCGGAGAACGUCUCGGUCAUGUCUGCAUGAUUCCCGAACCCGUAGGGUCUACAUACUUAAGGUUCGAUGACGCUAGGGUUAUAAAGGAAGUUUGUAUGUGGUUACCGAAUGUUGUUCGGAGUCCCGGAUGAGAUCCCGGAUGUCACGAGGAGUUCCGGAAUGGUCCGGAGGUAAAGAUUUAUAUAUGGGAAGUCCUGUUUUGGUCACCGGAAAAGUUUCGGGUUUUAUCGGUAACGUACCGGGACCACCGGGAGGGUCCUGGGGGUCCACCAAGUGGGGCCACAAGCCCCGAAGGGUUGCAUGGGCCAAGUAUGGGAGGGGACCAGCCCCAGGUGGGCUGGUGCGCCCCCCACAAGGGCCCAAGGCACCUAAGGAGAGGAGAGGGGGCAAACCCUAAGGGCAGAUGGGCCUUAGGGCCCAUACCUGGUGCGCCUCCCUCUCCCCCUCCACCUGGCCGCCACCCAGAUGGGAUUGGGGCUGGCCGCCGCCCCUAGGGUGGAACCCUAGAGGGGGCACAGCCCCCUCCCUCUCCCCUAUAUAUAGAUGAGGUCUUUGGGGCUGCCAACACAAGAGUUUUGACCUCUCCCUGGCGCAGCCCUGCAUCUCUCUUUCCUACUCUCCCGCGGUGCUUGGCGAAGCCCUGCAGGAUUGCCACGCUCCUCCUCCACCACCAGGCCGUUGUGCUGCUGUUGGAUGGACUCUUCCUCAACCUCUCCCUCUCUCCUUGCUGGAUCAAGGCGUGGGAGACGUCACCGGGCUGUACGUGUGUUGAACGCGGAGGUGCCGUCCGUUCGGCACUAGGAUCUCAGGUGAUUUGGAUCACGACGAGUACGACUCCUUCAAUCCCGUUCUCUUGAACGCUUCCGCUUAGCGAUCUACAAGGGUAUGUAGAUGCACUCUCCUUCCCCUCGUUGCUGGUUUCUCCAUAGAUAGAUCUUGGUGACACGUAGGAAAAUUUUGAAUUUCUGCUAUGUUCCCCAACAGUGGCAUCAUGAGCUAGGUCUAUUGCGUAGAUUCUUUGCACGAGUAGAACACAAAGUAGUUGUGGGCGUUGAUUUUGUUCAAUAUGCUUACCGUUACUAGUCCAAUCUUGAUUCGGCAGCAUUGUGGGAUGAAGCAGCCCGGACCGACCUUACACGUACACUUACGUGAGACAGGUUCCACCGACUGACAUGCACUAGUUGCAUAAGGUGGCUAGCGGGUGCCAGUCUCUCCCACUUUAGUCGGAUCGGAUUCGAUGAAAAGGGUCCUUAUGAAGGGUAAAUAGCAAUUGACAUAUCACGUUGUGGUUUUGCGUAGGUAAGAACCGUUCUUGCUAGAAACCCACAGCAGCCACGUAAAACAUGCAAACAACAAUUAGAGGACGUCUAACUUGUUUUUGCAGGGUAUGCCAUGUGAUGUGAUAUGGCCAAAAGGAUGUGAUGAAUGAUAUAUGUGAUGUAUGAGAUUGAUCAUGUUCUUGUAAUAGGAAUCACGACUUGCAUGUUGAUGAGUAUGACAACCGGCAGGAGCCAUAGGAGUUGUCUUAAUUUAUUUAUGACCUGCGUGUCAACAUAAACGUCAUGUAAUUACUUUACUUUAUUGCUAACCGUUAGCUAUAGUAGUAGAAGUAAUAGUUGGCGAGACAACUUCAUGAAGACACGAUGAUGGAGAUCAUGGUGUCAUGCCGGUGACGAUGAUGAUCAUGGAGCCCCGAAGAUGGAGAUCAAAAGAAGCAAAGUGAUGAUGGCCAUAUCAUGUCACUAUUUGAUUGCAUGUGAUGUUUAUCAUGUUUUUGCAUCUUAUUUGCUUAGAACGACGGUAGUAAAUAAGAUGAUCCCUCAUUAAACUUUCGAGAAAGUGUUCCCCCUAACUGUGCACCGUUGCGAAAGUUCGUCGUUUCAAAGCACCAUGUGAUGAUCGGGUGUGAUAGAUUCUAACGUUCACAUACAACGGGUGUAAGACAGAUUUACACACGCGAAACACUUAGGUUGACUUGACGAGCCUAGCAUGUACAGACAUGGCCUCGGAACACAAAAGACCGAAAGGUCGAGCAUGAGUCGUAUGGUAGAUACGAUCAACAUGAAGAUGUUCACCGAUGAUGACUAGUCCGUCUCAUGUGAUGAUCGGACACGGCCUAGUUGACUCGGAUCACGUAAUCACUUAGAUGACUAGAGGGAUGUCUAUCUGAGUGGGAGUUCAUAAGAUGAACUUAAUUAUCCUGAACAUAGUCAAAAGGACUUCGCAAAUUAUGUCAUAGCUCGCGCUUCAGUUCUACUGUUUAGAUACGUUCCUAGAGAAAAGAUAGUUGAAAGUUGAUAGUAGCAAUUAUACGGACUAGGUUCGUUAACUGAGGAUUGUCCUCGUUGCUUCGUAGAAGGCUCAUGUCCUUAAUGCACCGCUCAGUGUGCUGAACCUUGAACAUCGUCUGUGGGUGUUGCGAACAUCUAACAUACAUGUUUUGAUAACUACGUGAUAGUUCAGUUAAACGGUUUAGAGUUGAGGCACCAUAGACGAUUUCGAAACGUCGCGGAACAUAUGAGAUGUUUCGAGGGCUGAAAUUGGGAUUUCAGGCUCGUGCCCACGUCAAGAGGUAUAACACCUCCGACGAGUUUCUUAGCGUACAAACUAAGGGAGAAAAGCUCAAUCGUUGAGCUUGUGCUCAGAUUGUCUGAGUACCACAAUCACUUGGAUCGAGUGGGAGUUAAUCUUCCAGAUGAGAUAGUGAUGUUUUUCCAAAGACAUUAUCACCAAGCUGCUAGAGCUUCGUGAUGAACUAUAACAUAUCAGGGAUAGACAUGAUGAUCCUUGAAAUAUUCGCGAUGUUUGACACCGCGAAAGUAGAAAUCAAGAAGGAGCAUCAAUUGUUGAUGGUUAGUGAAACCACUAGUUUCAAGAAGGGCAAGGGCAAGAAGGGAUACUUCAUGAAACGGCAAAUCAGCUGCUGCUCUAGUGGAGAAACCCAAGGUUGAACCCAAACCCGAGACUAAGUGCUUCUGUAAUAAGAGGAACAGCCACUUGAGCAGAAUUACCCUAGAUACUUGGUAGAUGAGAAGGCUGUCGAUAGAAGUAUAUUGGAUAUACAUUAUGUUAAUGUGUACUUUACUAGUACUCCUAGUAGCACCAGGAUAUUAGAUACCGGUUCGGUUGCUAAGUGUUAGUAACUCGAAACAAAAGGCUACGGAAGAAACGGAGACUGGCUAAAAGGUGAGAUGACGAUAUGUGUUGGAAGUAUUUCCAAGGUUGAUCAAAUAUCGUACGCUCCCUCUACCAUCGAGAUUGGUAUUAAAACCUAAAUAAUUGUUAUUUUGUGUUUGUGUUGAGCAUAGACAUGAUUGGAUUAUGUCUAUCACAAUACGGGUAUUCAUUUAAGGAGAAUAAUUGUUACUCUGUUUAUUUGAAUAAUACCAUCCCAAUCGUAGUGAUACACAUUUUCAUGCCAAAGGUAUAAGAUAGUAAUGAUAGUACCACACAAUUGUGGCACUGCAAUUUUAGUCACAAUGGUAUAAAAUGCAUGAAGAAGCUCCAUGUUGAUGGAUCUUUGGACUCGCUUGAUUUUGAAUCACUUGAGACAUGCAAAUCAUACCACAUGAGCAAGAUGACUGAAAGGCCUCGUUUUCAGUAAGAUGGAACAAGAAAGCAACUUGUUGGAAGUAAUACAUCUUGAUGUGUGCAGUCCAAUGAGUGCUGAGGCAUGUAGUGAAUAUCGUUAUAUUCUUACUUCACAGAUGAUUUAAGUAGAUACUGAGUAUAUUUACUUGAUGAAACACAAGUCUGAAUUAUUGAAUGGUUCAAGUAAUUUCAGAGUGAAGUUGAAGAUCUUCGUGACAAGAGGAUAAAAUGUCUAUGAUAUGAUCAUAGAAAUGAAUAUCUGAGUUACGAGUUUGGCACACAAUUAAGACAUUGUGGAAAUUGUUUCACAACUAAUACCGCCUGGAACACCAUAGUGUGAUGGUGUGUCCGAACAUCAUAGUUGCACCCUAUUGGAUAUGGUGCGUACCAUGAUGUCUCUUAUCGAAUUACCACCAUCGUUCAUGGGUUAGGCAUUAGAGACAACCGCACUCACUUUAAUAGGGCACCACGUAAUUCUGCUGAGACGAAACCGUUUGAACUAUGGUUUGGAGAAACCUGAGUUAUCGUUUCUUAAAAGUUUGGGGCUGCGACGCCUAUGUGAAAAAGUUUCAGGUUGAUAAGCUCGAACCCAAAGCGGAUAAAAUGCAUCUUCAUAGGACACCAAAAACGGUUGGGUAUACCUCCUAAUUCAGAUCCGAAAGCAAUAGGGAUUGUUUCUAGAAUCGGGUCCUUUCUCGAGGAAAAGUUUCUCUCGAAAGAAUUGGGUGGGAGGAUGGUGGAGACUUGAUGAGGUUAUUGAACCGUCACUUCAACUAGUGUAUAGCAGGGCACAAAGAGUUGUUCCUGUGGCACCUACACCAAUUGAAGUAGAAGCUUAUGAUAUUGAUCAUGAGACUUCGGAUCAAGUCACUCCCAAACCUCGUAGGAUGACAAGGAUGCGUGCUAAUUUAGAGUGGUACGUAAUCCUGUCAUGGAAGUCAUGCUGCUAGACAACAAUGAACCUACGAGCUAUGGAGAAGCGAUGGUGGGCCCGGAUUCCGAUAAAUGGCUCGAGGCCAUAAAAUCCGAGAGAGGAUCCAUGUAUGAAAACAAAGUGUAGACUUUGGCAGAACGACUCGAUGGUCGUAAGGCUGUUGAGUACAGAUGGAUUUUAAAAGGAAGACAGACAAUGAUGGUAAGUGUUACCAUUGAGAAAGCUCGACUUGUCAUUAAUAUGUUUCCCGACAAGUUCAAGGAGUUGACUGCGAUGAGACUUUCUCACACGUAGCGAUGCUAAAAGUCUGUUGGAAUUAUGUUAGCAGUUACUGCAUUGUUUAUGAAAUCUUGCAGAUACGAUGUCAAAAUAUUGUUUCCUUGAUGAUUUUCUUGAGGAAAGGUUGUAUGUGAUACAACCAGAAGGUUUUGGCAGUCCUGAAAAUGCUAACAAGUAUGCAAAGCUCCAGCAAUCCUUCUAAGGACUGGAGUAAGCAUCUCGGAGUUGGAAUGUACGCUUUGAUGAGAUGAUCAAAGCUUUUGGGUUUAUACAAAGUUUAUGAGAAACUUGUAUUUCCAAAGAAGUGAGUGGGAGCACUAUAGAAUUUAUGAUGAGUAUAUGUUGUUGACAUAUUGUUGAUCGGAAAUGAUAUAGAAUUUCUGGAAAGCAUGCAGAGUUGUUUGAAAAGUGUUUUCAAUGAAAAACUGGAUUAGGCUACUUGAACAUUGAGCAUCAGGAUCUAUAAGGAUAGAUCAAAAACCGCUUAAUGGUACUUUCAAAUGAGCACAUACCUUGACAUGAUCUUGAAGGUGUUCAAGAUGGGUCAGCCAAAGAAGGAGUUCUUGCCUGAGUUGUAAGGUAUGAAGUUAAGACUUAAAGCUCGACCACAGCAGGAGAAAGAGGAUGGACGAAGGUCGUCCCCUAUGCUAUUGUCAUAGACUCUAUACGGUAUGCCAUGCUGAGUACCGCACCUGAUGUGUGCCUUGCCACAUGUCUGGCAAGAGGGUACAAAGGUGAUCUAGGAGUAGAUCACCAGAUAGCGGUCAAAAUUAUCCUUAGAGUAAUAAGGAUAUGUUUCUCGGUUAUGGAGGUGAUAAAGAGUUCGACGUAAAGAGUUACAUCGAUGCAAGCUUAACACCUAUCCGGAUAGCUCCGAGUAGAGAUACCGGAUACGUAUAAUGGAGCAACAGUUUGGAAUAGCUCCAAGUAGAACAGUUAUUUCAAAUGGCUCCAAAUAUAGCGUAGAGAUUUGCGAGGUACAUACGGAUCUGAAUGUUGCAGACCCGUUGACUAAAACCUCUCUCACAAGCAACAUGAUCAAACCUAGAACUCAUUGAGUGCUAAUCACAUAGUGAUGUGAACUAGAUUAUUGACUCUAGUAAACUCUUUGUAUGUUGGUCACAUGGCGAUGUGACCUGUGAGUGUUAAUCACAUGGAGAUGUGAACUAGAUUAUUAACUCUAGUGCAAGUGGGAGACUGUUGGAAAUAUGCCCUAGAGGCAAUAAUAAAUUGGUUAUUAUUAUAUUUCCUUGUUCAUGAUAAUCAUUUAUUAUCCAUGCUAUAAUUGUAUUGAUAGGAAACACAGAUACAUGUGUGGAUACAUAGACAACACCAUGGCCCUAGUAAGCCUCUUGUUGACUAGCUCGUUAAUCAAUAGAUGGUUACAGUUUCCUGACCAUGGACAUUGGAUGUCGUUGAUAACGGGAUCACAUCAUUAGGAGAAUCAUGUGAUGGACAAGACCCAAUCAUAAGGCUAGCACAAAGAUCGUGUAGUUCGUAUGCUAAAGCUUUUCUCAUGUCAAGUAUCAUUUCCUUAGACCAUGAGAUCGUACAACUCCCGGAUACCGUAGGAAUGCUUUGGGUGUGCCAAACGUCACAACGUAACUGGGUGGCUAUAAAGGUACACUACGGGUAUCUCCGAAAGUGUCUGUUGGGUUGGCACGAAUCGAGACUGGGAUUUGUCACUCCGUGUGAUGGAGAGGUAUCUCUGGGCCCACUCGGUAGGACAUCAUCAUAUGCACAAUGUGACCAAGGAGUUGAUCACGGGAUGAUGUGUUACGAAACAAGUAAAGAGACUUGCCGGUAACGAGAUUGAACAAGGUAUCAGAUACCGACGAUCGAAUCUCGGGAAAGUACAAUACCGCUAGACAAAGGGAAUUGAAUACGGGAUUGAUUAAAUCCUCGACAUCGUGGUUCAUCCGAUGAGAUCAUCGUGGAACAUGUGGGAGCCAACAUGGGUAUCCAGAUCCCACUGUUGGUUAUUGACCGGAGAACGUCUCGGUCAUGUCUGCAUGAUUCCCGAACCCGUAGGGUAUACACACUUAAGGUUCGAUGACGCUAGGGUUAUAAAGGAAGUUUGUAUGUGGUUACCGAAUGUUGUUCGGAGUCCCGGAUGAGAUCUCGGACGUCACGAGGAGUUCCGGAAUGGUCCGGAGGUAAAGAUUUAUAUAUGGGAAGUCCUGUUCUGGUCACCGGAAAAGUUUCGACUUUUAUCGGUAACGUACCGGGACCACCGGGAGGGUCCCGGGGGUCCAUCAAGUGGGGCCACAAGCCCCGAAGGGUUGCAUGGGCCAAGUAUGGGAGGGGACCAGCCCCAGGUGGGCUGGUGCGCCCCCCCACAAGGGCCCAAGGCGCCUAAGGAGAGGAGAGGGGGCAAACCCUAAGGGCAGAUGGGCCUUAGGGCCCAUACCUGGUGCGCCUCCCUCUCCCCCUCCACCUGGCCGCCACCCAGAUGGGAUUGGGGCUGGCCACCGCCCCUAGGGUGGAACCCUAGAGGGGGCGCAGCCCCCUCCCUCUCCCCUAUAUAUAGUUGAGGUCUUUGGGGCUGCCAACACAAGAGUUUUGACCUCUCCCUGGCGCAGCCCUGCAUCUCUCUUUCCUCCUCUCCCGCGGUGCUUGACGAAGCCCUGCAGGAUUGCCACGCUCCUCCACCACCACCACGCCGUCGUGCUGCUGUUGGAUGGACUCUUCCUCAACCUCUCCCUCUCUCCUUGCUGGAUCAAGGCGUGGGAGACGUCACCGGGCUGUACGUGUGUUGAACGUGGAGGUGCCGUCCGUUCGGCACUAGGAUCUCAGGUGAUUUGGAUCACGACGAGUACGACUCCUUCAACCCCGUUCUCUUGAACGCUUCCGCUUAGCGAUCUACAAGGGUAUGUAGAUGCACUCUCCUUCCCCUCGUUGCUGGUUUCUCCAUAGAUAGAUCUUGGUGACACGUAGGAAAAUUUUGAAUUUCUGCUAUGUUCCCCAACAGCCCCUCCCCCUACCGUGAUGUACGUGGAUGAAUCCGACGGCAACAAGGACGACCUCGUAGGAUCCAGCCACGGUUGUGCGGAAUUUCACGGGGAUGAAUCUACCCGGCCUCUCGUCCUAUCUGCCGCCGGUAGAGGCAUCCAUGUCUGAUGGUGUGAAUUUUGGCUGGUUCCAUGAGCACUUCGUUCCCUGCCGUGUAGUCUUCGUUGAUUCGGAAAGAUGGUGGUUGUCUGUUUAGCCAUUUCAAUCUGCUAUUGAUCAUGCUCAUUCUUGUUAUAUUCAGUUAUAUUGGAAACACCAUCUGAUUCAGUUAUAUUCUUGAUCAUGCUCAUCCUCAUCCUUAUUCAAAUAAGAAUACUUCUGUUUGGAGAGCUCGGGCGUCAGCUGUGUGGAAGCACCAGCUGAUUUGUAACUGGUCGGAAGGUGAGCUUCUCAUACUCGCUGCCGUCGAAGCACGACACCUCGCCGCCACUUAUGUUGCGUGUUGUUGUGCUGUAGGUCCUUGGGGUUGGGUGUGGCAACUCGCGACUCGAAGACAUUUCGUGCAUGUGCUCCCCUGCGCUUGGUGACCAAUACAUCUACUCCGUCGUGAACAUGUGCUUCGUGUCAUACAGGUCGCCGCCAAGGGUGAGCUCGUGCAGCGGUACAGGUAUAGAUGUGCAUCCCAUAAGGGCAGCUACAUUUUCUUUCAUAAAGUUAUUUGUGUGAGUGCCCUGCAUAUUGAAGUAAACUGGAUCGGCUAAUCUUGAGUUCCUCCACCAAGUUAUAUUACUUCGACAAGAAAAAGUGCAGAAAGACCAUAUAAAGUACUCUGGUGACUCUCUCAAUUGAACUAGAAUUUUUUUAGAUGCGUGAAACAUGCACAACGAUUUGCUCUAUUGAGUCUAUGUAUGUUGAACUAGCACUCGAAUUAUAGCUCAUGCCGGUAUACUAAUUUUCUCUUUCUCAUAUCAGCUCUCCUUCUUUUUGUCCAUUUUUCUUCACUACUACCUGAAGGAAACUGUACUGGAUAGCAGCCUAUCAUAUAUAGUUACAUGUACCGAGUGAUUUAGCUUCAUUUUAAUGAUACUGUCAACAACUAACUACUGCUGCGACAUAUUUGAUGCAACCUGUAAAAUAUUUUUUGUUUAAUUUCAGCAUAUCAUUUAUAUACUGAAGUCUCUUCUGGACAUGUUGUCUAAUUGCGUCAUGUAUGUUAGAUAUUUGUUCUAUAAUACUUGCCAUUGACUAUUUUUCUUUUAUUUAGGUUAUGUGCAUUAUUGAUCAGCCAAUCUUGAGAGAGAGAUGGGUUGGCGUGAAUGGGAAGAAAACUACAUUGAAUGGACAAGAAGUAUGCCCUCAACUUUUUCAUGGUAUGUCUUACUUAUUGUUCUUGUGAUUUUUCCAUCAGUUUCACUUUACAUUUCUUCUUUGCUUUUUCAUGGCAUCGGGAUGCCCACUGCCGACGGCGCUGCGUUGCUACCAAAGGGGCACCCUGCCGCGGCCAGGGACUCGCUGCCGUCGAAGCACGACACCUUGCCGUCACGUAUGUUGGGUGUUGUGGUGCUGCAGGUCCUUGGGGUUGGGUGCGGCAACUCGAGACUCGAAGACGAUCUUCUGCGGUAGGGCGUCGCCGGCGGCGGUGGCACCUGUAUAGACCGUCUCGGUGUGACAGAAGAGUUCGGAGUUCACUCCGAGAAAGAAUUGCUUUGCAUGUACAUUUGCUGAAAGACUGAUGUGCUGAACUUUCGAUGAUUUCGAUUGGUCUCUAACAUAACCUUUCCUCUUUUUGUUGAUAUGUCCAAAAGAGAUCCUUAUUUCACCUUUUGUUUAUAGGUAUUCAACUUGAGGAAUUUCAUACUUUUGGAGUGGAGCUAUCAAAUAUAUGUGUGCUCGAUGUUGGUGUUUUAAUCCGGAUCUCUCGCUGAAGGUGCUCGAUGUUGGUGUUUGAAUACUGCUACCGUACUUCAAGGUCUGUAGCAGCUCUUACAAUGGAUUCUUUUUAAUGAUAGUACAAUUUAUUUUUGUUUCGAUUUGGUAUUGUUGUUUUGUUCACUUAACCCAGUCUGUAGCAGCAGCUUUUCAUGUCGUUUCCUCGCCAACAAAUGUCAUAAUUUAUCACAUACGUGUGCAAAUGGUUUUUUGGCUAUAGUAUGAGUAUAUGGUUCAGAGAAGUUCGGUCAGAUGCAAAGCAUGCUUAGCAUCUCAUAGUCGUAGGCUAUUCCUUUUAAAAUUGAAGCCAUCCAGGUUUUCAAUUAUGGAGAUGAUUUGGAAACUCAGCAUAGAAAAUUAUUUACUCUAAUGCAAAUUACACAUAUUAAGGCCUUUAUUCUUUUAUAUUAAGGUCUCCAGUGCAAGCAUUAGCCCAUCUUUAGCUGCUCAUAAGCAGUAUCAGUGAUAUAUAUAUAUAUAUAAGUACACUCUUGCUAAGAUUAAUCUUUGAUAUAUAUAAUUCAUUGCCUGGAUAUAGUUUGCUUUGAAUGUUUUUUUGCUCUUUAGUCUAUGAAGAAUUGCAAGGAGGAGGAUAAUAGAGCAGCAACCAGAGCUGACAAUUGGCCUGUAAAUGCUGCAAAGUUCUCCUAAAGGUGUGAUGUUGGUGGUGAUUUUCUUAUCCGGGGAUAUGGAUGUGGCGGGUCUGUGGGCACCAUGCUGACGCGGAGAAGGAGGUGCAGGUAGCGGGGGCGCUUGAGGUGAGGUGGCUGCAGGGUCGCUCGAGAAGAAUAGGCUCAUCAGCAACACCUGGAUGCCUUCGUCAUCAGCAAUGUGGACAAGGUGCAAAAGGGAUAUCGCCCUUACCUCUUAUUCAGUCUGGAAAAUUAUGCAAUGUUUGGUUUGGUAGAUUUAACAGUCGCUGGUUCGGAAAUUUGUUACCUAUAGAAGUAUAGGAAUAACAUGACUAAUAUUUAUUGAAUUUAUAGAGUUAUUGUUUUUUUCUACAAAGUCAGUUGUUAAAUUAGGAAGAACAUCGUCUAAAAUCUUGACAACAUAAAGGAGCAUAGAGUUAAUAGAUUAUGAAAUCCUGUAGUGCAUCAGAUGCACCCUUCACUAAUUUUUGAACACAUUUAUAUUAUCCAGGUUCCGACCUCAUUCGUUGUGAUGUUUGUCUUUUUUAUGUGGGCGAGGAAAACAUUUUUAGGAGUGAUACUCCCAAACUUUGAUUUCUUGGUUGUCGAAUCAUGGUGCUGAUUAGAUUUUACUUAACCUUAAUUAAUCUAUUUAUAUUGUGGCUUUGUCUUUUAGCUCAUCUUUUAGUUUCUCUUCUCCACUUAACACAAGAUUUUAUUGUAGGCUACCAAGUACAAUUAUACCACUUAUACUCUUUCUAUCUGAUUAUGCAAAGCUUGAUCUAUACUCAUUGAACUUUGUUAGAUAGUAGGCCCUCCUAUUAGUGUGCCUAAAUAUAAUUGUUUCUCUGUGUUUAUAGUAUCUUAGUCCAGUAGAAUGAAUGUUCUCGAGUAAUUAGAGGUAUUUGGAUCAAGUGAAUGUCUGAAUACCACUAAAAUCGAAAUCAUAAUGCUUAUCAUUGGUCAGCACCACCACCUACUCUGAAUCUCUGAUCAGAAUAGUACGAACUAUUAAAUUGGGAACUUAAUGCUUAUCAUUGUUGAUGUACAUAUGUACAACUAACAAUGUUUGUGCUGCAACCAGCUUACUUUAUUCCUUGCUGAAAUUUAUCUUGACUUAUUUCACAUCAGAUAGUUCUGAACCUAGAUGAUCUCAAUUAAGGUCAUUGAAAUUUGUUAAAUUAUUUUUAUCCACUCUUCUGAACGAGCGUAUACUAUGAUCUGAUUUGUAUAUCAUAUUACUGAGGCAGCGCUGGGCCAUGCUGUGGUGAGAACAUACGAGAGAUAAUUGGGGUGUGUGGCUGAUUGCUUCAUAUGCUGCUAAUGAUAUAUGUAGACUGCUGAUUGCUCCUGAUAUACAGUGUCGAUUGCAGCUGAUAGUAGGAUUGUACUCAAUUUGAUAGGUAAAGUGGGAUGGCGGGAUUGUAUAGUGCUCAUAAGCCAGUCCGGGCAUUGUCCUUCCUCGAAUGAAUAUGAGACUACUCCUCAUAUGUUAAUCAGUUGCUCCUCCCUAGCUUUGGUUUGGUCUGAACUUCAAAGUUUUCAUCCACUCAAUGUUGAUUCAGUCAAAGAUCUCUUGGAAAAAUUAUUUCGACAAGAUUCACUCUAUAAUGUUGUUAUCAUUGUCCUCUGGAAUAUAUGGAAGUGCAAAAACUCCAAGGUCUCCCGGGAUGUUUUUGAGGAAUUGCACAUUACUGCUAGCAAGAUUGCUGAUGAUUGAUACCAUGGUCCAACAGGUAUUCACAUGAAAUUAAUAAAUGGCACCUUACGGAUUGGAGUACUCUACUGUAUCACCUAUCUGGGAGAUUUUAAUUUUUUCCUUCUAUUAUUUCUCUUAAUCCCUGUGCACUCAUCGGACUUUGUAUAGUUCUCAGUUUUAUGAAGUGGUUCAGGCUGGCGUAAGCCGCCAUAGUCCCAGUAAAAAAAAGGCUACAAGCUUCGCUUCGGCCUUUUGGAACUGAAUAUUAUGUAGUUUUAUUGAGAUUAUUGAUAGUGCUUCUCUACUAUCAAAGAAGGUAAUAGUCUCUUAUGUGUUUCUUUUUGUCCAUUUGAAUGCACUCCAUUUUUUAGUGUAUUAAUUAACAUCAAACCUCCCAUUCUUUCUAGAGUGCUGAUGUAUUAUUAUUUUCAGCUUAACACAUUUAACUUCCUAUAGAUUUCAUGGUUUAUGCAGAUUAACCGAGCUAAGAUUUUUUGUGAAGCUAAAGCUGGUGUUAAGAUGAACGCCGCUAUGUAUAUAUUUGAAACAGUUAGAUACAUGCUUGACAGACUAUAUAGGGGUGAUCAAAACCAUGCAAAGCAUUAUGGGACAAGUUUCUCUACCUUAAAUAAGUGUUCAUUCUCUCGUGUUUACUAUUCGUUUAAGGGUCAUCAACCCGUGUAUUUAUUUUCAUUGAGCAAGUUUUACAUUUUUCUUCAGUGGUGUUCAUUGUGCAGUUCUAGAUUUUUAAGAGAGUAGAGUUUAUUGAUUUAUUACAUGGAGAGACCAGUAGUGUCGUAGUGGUCUUGACAUAAUUACUAACAUUUUCUACUAGAAAAAGUUUAAUUGCACUAAAUACAAAUUAGAACAUGCAUAGACAUUUAUCUUCUUUCUACAGAAUGGUUAGUGUAAACGUACUUUAAGUUGUACAUGAUUCUGUAUCUGACCAUUUUAUCUCAUAUGUUGAUGUGGUUGCAGAUAUGAACUUCAAAUUAUCCUGCAAUGUAUUGACUGCUCGGAGCUAACUUGACUACGCCAGUUUUCUUUUAUGGCUCAAAGUAGUUAGUGUCCCCCCUUAUUAUGAGAGAGGUACUACUUCAAACAUCUCUUCUUAAUGUUUUAUGUCAUGGCAUACAGUAUGAGGGAGUGUUAGUUGGCUUGACUUUCGUGGCACUCAUUGAUAACCUUUCAGUUUAGGAGUUUUUGUGGCCUCUUAAUCCAUGAGAGUAUGCUCAUGUUGAAGAAGUUAGUCAUAAUGAGGGGCACCAUAAAUGUUUGUUAUCUGGCACAAAUUCCUAAUGAAUAUCACAUGUGAACCUUUUACUGUUGUGUUAUUCAAAUUUCAUUGUACUAUUCAUACAGUAAAAUAUGAGUGCCAUGUCAGAAUAUGGUUCUCGAUCUGAAAGAUCAUAUUCAAAAUUACAGGUUCUAUGGCAGUGCACUGGUAGAAAAAGAGGCUUCCGUCCAGCCCCAUUAGUCGCGAAACUGUAGGAACCGCGACCAAUGAAGUCUUUAGUCGCGGUUCGACAGACGAACCGCGACCAAAUGCCUGGGCCCAGGGCGCUCGGUGGCCAGCUGGUGCACGUGAGGGGCUUUAGUCGCGGUUGGCCAGGCCAACCGCGACUAAAGCUCCUCCCCUAUAUAUACCAGUUCAGCACACUCACUUAGCCAUUUGGUGCCACUUCUCUUCGCAAGCUUCACAAGGGGGUGUAGGUUUGCUUUUGGUUCCUCUUAUGCACACAAGGUGUUUGAUGAAAUGCCCCAAGAGCGUGAAACAAACAUGAUAUGAAGUGUUGGAGCCACACUUGAGGUUCCUCAUUUAUUUUUUCCUCCUCGAUCGCGGUUAGCAACUUGAACCUUUCAUGCAUGUGUGUCAUUGAUAAAAUAUGCAUGUGUGUUGUUCAUUGUUUAAUUUCUAUUGUUUAUAGCUAGUUAGUUUAACAAAUGCAUGAUGGUUAAUUAUAUAUUUUAUAUUAUAAUAAUGCAGAUGAAUCGGCAAUGGAUGUACGGUAACCGACUCUCCCGCGAGUUCACUACGGGUUUGAAAGAUUUCCUCGUAGUGGCUAAUGCGAACAAGCAGAAGGGUUUUGUUAUCUGUCCAUGUGUUGACUGUAAGAAUCAGAAGGGUUACUCUUCCUCAAGAGAAGUUCACUUGCACCUGCUUCGGCACGGUUUCAUGCCAAGCUAUAAUUGUUGGACCAAGCAUGGAGAAAGAGGGGUUAUAAUGGAAGAAGAUGAAGAAGGGGAUGAUUUCAUCGAUGAAAGCUAUCUUGCUCAUUUCGGUGAUACUUUCAUGGAGGAUGCUGAAGGUGAAGGGGAAGGUGAAGGUGAAGAAGAGGCACGUGAUGAGACCGUUGAUGAUCUUGGUCGGACCAUUGCUGAUGCACGGAGACGCUGCAAAACUGAAAAGGAGAGGGAGAAUUUGGAUCGCAUGUUAGAGGAUCACAGAAAGUCGUUGUACCCCGGAUGCGAUGAUGGUCUGAAAAAGCUGGGCUGCACACUGGAUUUGCUGAAAUGGAAGGCACAGGCAGGUGUAGCUGACUCGGCAUUUGAAAACUUGCUGAAAAUAUUGAAGAAUAUGUUUCCAAAGAAUAACGAGUUGCCCACCAGUACGUACGAAGCAAAGAAGGUUGUCUGCCCUCUAGGUUUAGAGGUUCUGAAGAUACAUGCAUGCAUCAACGACUGCAUCCUCUACCGCGGUGAAUACGAGAAUUUGAAUGAAUGCCCGGUAUGCACUACAUUGCGUUAUAAGAUCAGAGGCGAUGACCCUGGUGACGAUGUUGAGGGCGAGAAACCCAGGAAGAGGGUUCCCGCCAAGGUGAUGUGGUAUGCUCCUAUAAUACCACGGUUGAAACGUCUGUUCAGGAACAAAGAGCAUGCCAAGUUGUUGCGAUGGCACAAAGAGGACCGUAAGUCGGACGGGGAGUUGAGACACACCGCAGAUGGAACGCAAUGGAGAAAGAUCGACAGAGAGUUCAAAGAUUUUGCAGCUGACGCAAGGAACAUAAGAUUUGGUCUAAGUACAGAUGGCAUGAAUCCUUUUGGCGAGCAGAGCUCCAGCCAUAGCACCUGGCCCGUGACUCUAUGCAUCUACAACCUUCCUCCUUGGUUGUGCAUGAAGCGAAAGUUCAUUAUGAUGCCAGUGCUCAUCCAAGGUCCGAAGCAACCCGGCAACGACAUCGAUGUGUACCUAAGGCCAUUAGUUGAUGAACUUUUACAGCUGUGGGGCAGACCUGGUGUCCGUGUGUGGGAUGAGCACAAAGAAGAGGAAUUUGUCCUACGAGCGUUGCUUUUCGUAACCAUCAACGAUUGGCCUGCUCUUAGUAACCUUUCGGGACUGUCAAAUAAGGGAUACAAUGCAUGCACGCACUGCUUACAUGAGACUGAAAGUGUACAUUUUCCAAAUUGUAAGAAGAACGUGUACCUUGGGCAUCGUCGAUUUCUUCUGAAAAUUCAUCCAGUAAGAAAGAAAGGCAAGCAUUACAACGGCAAGGCAGAUCACCGGCCGAAGCCUGCGGAACGCACUGGUGAUGAGGUAUUUGAUAUGGUCAAGGAUUUGAAAGUCAUCUUUGGAAAGGGUCCUGGCGGACAAUCAGUUCCGAAGGGAGCUGACGGGCACGCAGCCAUGUGGAAGAAGAAAUCUAUAUUCUGGGAGCUAGAAUAUUGGAAAGUCCUAGAAGUCCGCUCUGCAAUCGACGUGAUGCACGUUACGAAGAAUAUUUGCGUGAACCUCCUAAGCUUUUUGGGCGUGUAUGGAAAGACAAAUGAUACAAAGGAAGCACGGCAGGACCAGCAACGUUUGAAAGACCCUGAUGACCGGCAUCCGGAAUGGUUUCAAGGUCGUGCCAGCUACGCUCUGACCAAAGAAGAGAAGGUCAUCUUUUUUGAAUGCCUGAGCAGUAUGAAGGUCCCGUCUGGAUUCUCGUCCAAUAUAAAGGGAAUAAUAAACAUGGCGGAGAAAAAGUUCCAAAACCUGAAGUCUCACGACUGCCACGUGAUUAUGACGCAAUUGCUUCCGAUUGCUUUGAGGGGGCUCCUGCCGGAAAAUGUUCGAGUAGCCAUUGUGAAGCUAUGUGCAUUCCUCAAUGCAAUCUCUCAGAAGGUAAUCAAUCCAGAAGUUCUACCACGGUUACAGAACGAUGUGAUCCAAUGUCUUGUCAGUUUCGAGUUGGUGUUCCCGCCAUCCUUCUUCAAUAUUAUGAUGCACCUCCUGGUUCACCUAGUCGAAGAGAUUUUCAUUCUCGGUCCUGUAUUUCUACACAAUAUGUUCCCCUUCGAGAGGUUCAUGGGAGUAUUAAAGAAAUAUGUUCGUAACCGUGCUAGGCCAGAAGGAAGCAUCGCCAAGGGCUAUGGAAAUGAGGAGGUAAUUGAGUUUUGUGUUGACUUUGUUCCUGACCUUAAGCCGAUUGGUCUUCCUCGAUCGCGGCAUGAGGGGAGACUAAGUGGAAAAGGCACGAUCGGAAGAAAAUCAACGAUAUGUAUGGACGUCCAUUCUCUGACUGAAGCACACCACACUGUACUGACCAAUUCCAUCUUGGUGGCUCCGUACUUUGAGAAACACAAGAAUAUUUUACGCUCGGACAACCCGGGGAAGCCUGAAUCCUGGAUUAGGAAGGCCCACAUGGAGACUUUCGGCAGUUGGUUGAGAAAACAUUUAAUGAAUGACAAUGAUGUUGUAGAUCAGCUGUACAUGUUGGCCAAGACACCAUCUUCGACUAUAAUGACUUUCCAAGGGUACGAGAUAAAUGGGAAUACAUUUUACACGAUCUCCCAAGAUAAAAAGAGCACCAACCAAAACAGUGGUGUCCGCUUUGAUGCAGCAACCGAGAAUGGGCAAAAGGUCACAUAUUAUGGUUACAUAGAGGAGAUAUGGGAACUUGACUAUGGACCCUCCUUUAAGGUCCCUUUGUUCCGGUGCAAAUGGUUCAAGCUAACAGGAGGUGGGGUAAAGGUGGACCAGCAAUACGGAAUGACAAUGGUGGAUUUCAAUAAUCUUGGUUACCUUGACGAACCAUUCGUCCUAGCGAAAGAUGUCGCUCAGGUUUUCUAUGUGAAGGACAUGAGUAGCAAACCGAGGAAACGGAAAGAUAAGAAAACGAUCAGUACAUCAUGCGAUGAUCCAAAGCGCCACAUUGUUCUUUCAGGGAAAAGAAACAUCGUGGGAGUGGAGGACAAGACAGACAUGUCAGAAGAUUAUAAUAUGUUUGCUGAAAUUCCGCCCUUCAAAGUGAACACCGACCCAAGCAUUAAGUUAAAUGAUGAGGAUGCUCCAUGGAUACGGCACAAUCGUAAGCAAGAAGGGACACAAGGGAAGAAAUGAUGUGUAAUAAUUUAUUACCCGUGAUGUGUUUGGUGUCCAUUUUCGAAUGAUUCGAGAUACCACUGAUGAUACAUGAAAUUUGGAGUGAUUUAGUCAUACUCCUGCCUAGGCGUAUAAUAUGCAUACUCGUAGUCUUCAUAGCCGCCGUCGUCGUCGUUCCUGUCGUCGCCUUCUAAGUUGCCGCCGUCGUCAUCGCUGCUGUCGUCGCUGUCGUCGGGCGGCGCUCGUGGCUCGAACUGAGGGUAGCGCAGGCGGGGGAUAUCGCCGGCCGUGAUGUAGUCCAUGACGCUCUGCAGAGUCCGGCCGUACCACCAUAGCCGACGGCCGGCCUCGUGGAAGUUCCCAGGAGGCAGACCGUCCUCCUCAUACCUGGCGAGCGCCCUCUCACGCCGAUUAAUGAAGAAGGCGUCCCAAGUAUGCUGGUUAUCGGGAUGCCAGCGGGGAUUCAUCCGCUGCUCCGGCGUGAGGUCGAGGUAGUAGUGGUUCGUGAUGGCCGCCCGGCACGCAGUACCCUGAGGGACGGGAGGGACCGGCACGCCGCCGGCGCUUAGGCUCCAGCCGGUGGGGACGCGGUAGCCCGGUGGACAAGGGUAGUUCGAGGCGCAAAGCUCCUCCACCUGCUGGUAGGUUAGAGUGGGUGCGGUGGAAGCCAUGAGAGAGUGAUGAGAGAUUGUAGAGAUGUGAUAAUGCUGGCCAAGACGGGCUACAUAUAUGUAGUGAGAAAUGGCGGGAAAAAUGGGAGCGGGAAGACAGGAGGCGGGAAGAAAGUGGCGGGAAGAAAGAGGCGGGAAGACAAGGAAGAAAUGGCGGGAAGAAGAUAAUAUUUGUGUUUUUAACAUAUUGAAUUGAAUUAGUUCUAUUUUUCUGAAUUUUUUGAUAUAUUAUUUGUAUUUUUAACAUAUUGAAUUGAAUUACUUUUAUNNNNNNNNNNCGCCGUCGCCCUCGCCCUCAACGCCGCCCGCCGCCGCCCGCCGCGCUGUCAGGCGACGACUCCGGCGCCUCGGCCGGGUAAUUAUCCUCAAGCGCCGUCUCCUCCAGGCCCCGUGCCGCGCGGCCCAUGGCGGCGCACGAGAGCAGCAGCACGGCCAAGAGAAGAAGCGCGGUGCAGCGGGCCUUCUCCGGUGAAGUGCCGCCACGGGAGAGGCUCACCGGAGCUCUCUCCGGCACCCGCCUACGGGUCCCAUCUGUCAUACACAUGAACACACUGCUGGGUGCACUUCCGUGUACCCAUAGCAGUUUCUGUAUUUAAUAAUUUGAAUUAAAUUAAAUCAGGAUAUUAGAAAAUGAACCAAAACUUUGAAAAUUAAUAGAAAAUAAACCGUAACUCGGAUGGGAAAACUCUGUACAUGAAAGUUGCUCAGAACGACGAGACGAAUCCGGAUACGCAGCCCGUUCGUCCAUCACGCAUCCCUAGCAUAGCGAACACGCAACUUUCCCCCUCCGACCCAUCUGUCUGAAAACGCGAAACACCGGGAAUACUUUCCCGGAUGUUUCCCCCCUUCACCGGUACCACCUCGUACCGCGUUAUGGUACACCUAGCAAAUAAAAAACUUGCCAUGAUGAAUUACUAAAAUUUGCCAUGAUCUAUCAAAUAAUUUUGACAUGAUUCAUAAGUAAAAAAAGAAAUAUGUCAUCAGUUAUUUUAACAAUGCAUGGUCACUGGCUCAAAUUUGGCAUGAACUAUAAACUAAAACUAUCAUGGUGAAUUACUUAAAUUUGCCAUGAUACAUGUACUAAAAUUUGCCAUGGUUCAUACAAAAAUGUGUAAACCCUCUCCCACCCCUUCCUCGCCCCCUUCUUUUGCCACCGCCCUUUCGCCACCGCCACCGCCACCGCCACCGCCCCCCUUCUUCACUUAAUUAAUUUGUUUUUACUACAUGUUUUCAGGACUGACAUAAUGGCGGACGAUAGAGCUGACCCGAUUAUGGACAACUAUGAUCCGGACGGUGAAGCACAUAUGUUCGGCAUCAUAAACGGCGAUAUUCUAUAUGUGCCGACCGGACAAGAAGAAGAUGAUAUCUCUUCUUAUCUGAACCUUGACGGUGAAGAUGAAGGGCGCCGUCAGCAAGAUGAUGCCGAACAAACGUCGAUAAACGACGAUCUUCAAAUGGAAGUAGCAACCACCUCCGGCGCCGAGGUAUAUAUAUACAUUGAGCCUCUGGUGAUACAAACUAACUGAUUUGAAUAAAUAUGUGUGUACUAACGUGCGCGACUCUCUUUCUUAUUUUAGCCCUCGGCCGGAUCGUCGAAACAAUCGAGUACAUCGUCAAAGCGUGGCGCAACCAAGACGAUGAAACAAGGAGAAACAUGCACCAUCGAGGUUGUCGACAGUGCAACCGGCAGGCCGCUGGAGCCCCGCAAGAACGCCACCAAGUUUGUCAACCAAUGCGGAGCCGUUGUUAGAGACAACGUCUCGAUCACCGUCCAGGAGUGGAAUAAGCCAAAGAAGGCACGAAUUGCUGGUUUCACUUUUGUCGAUAAGAGAACAAAAAAAGAUUGCUUCAAGAAGCUUAUGGAACAUUUCAUUCUACCUCCGGAAUACAACAAAUUCGAUGAGGAGGGUAACAAGAUUGAGGAAAACAAGGAGAGGAUGAGGCUAGUCAAACAGUUCGCUCUUCAUAAGAUGGCCGACGCAUUCCGGAAAUUCAAGCAAAAUCUAGCCCGUGACUUUGUCAAGCAGAACAAGACUCCGGAUUUCAAAGGACAAUAUGAGAAACUGAAACAUGAUUGGCCAGAAUUUGUGAAGCAAAAGAAAUCGGAGCAGUUCAUUCAAAUAUCAAAAAAAAUAAGGAAAAUGCGGCUAAGAAGGAGUACAAUCAUAUUAUGGGGCCAGGAGGGUAUCGCCUUUGGGUGCCUAGGUUGGAGAAGAUGGAGAACGAGCUGAGGGCGCGAGGAAUCCGUCCAGGUACGGAGGGAUGGGACCCAAGGGCCAAAAGCUGGUGGUACGGGCAUGGGGGAACGCUGAACCCGAAGACAGGGGAGUGUGUUUACCGGGGCAAAAUAAUUAAACCCACCCAAGCCCUUAUUGACGCAAUGAGGGAUGCUCAAGAGGGGAAGAUCAAGUUCAACAGAGAGAACGACGCGCUGACAAAAGCCCUCGGGAAUCCUGAACACGGAGGACGUGUACGAGGCAUGGGGCACAUUCCGUGGAAAAUAGGGUUCCCCCAGAACGAUGACCCGUACGGUUACAGAAGCCGUAAGAGAAAGAUGGAUCGGGAAGCAGAUGUUGUGGCGCGGUUGGCAUCGGAAAUGGAUGUGAUGAAGAAAACCGUGAGUGUACUAGUAGCCGAAAGAGAUGCAGCUCGGGCGCAGCAUGAAGAUCAUCUAGCGGAUCUCGGAAGCCAGCAGCGGAGAAGCAGCGUGGCUUCCUCGGAGGCCCCACCGGCUGGUGCAGAUGCACCGACGAUCGAAAUUACUGCACCGGAGCCUCUGGUGGUCGAAAUUACUGCAUCGGAGCCUCCUCGCUACCCCGUGGACGAUAUAAAGGAGAUGAAAGAAUGUCAUCUGUAUUAUCCUAUCGGGAACAUGUCCAUGAAGGUAGCCAUCGGCAGUGCUUUACCAUGUUUACCUGGAGCACUCCACCACAACAACCCCAUUCAAGAUGGCUAUGCUCGUGUCACGGUGGAGGACAUAGUCCAAGGGUUUGAGGACCUGGAGAUUGACAUUGCUACACCUGAAGGGGAGAAAAGACUUGGAGAUGUCAAGCGCCAUUUCAUUCUAUGGCAAAAGAAGUUUAUCAAGUUUCCAGGCGAGGCGCCAAGGACAACAAGUCCACCCCCCUACGGUGGUGGUGGUGGCGGUGGUGGUGGUGGUGGUGGUGGUGGCGGUUCACCUACACCUCCGUCACGUCAGUCGACGCCCCUCAGUCCACAACGUCCGGCGGGUGAUCAGACGCCGCCCCCCAGUCCUCGUCCGGCGGGUGAUCAGACGCCGCCCCCAGUCCUCGUCCGGUGGGUGAUCAGCCGACGCCCCCCAGUCCACAACGUCCGGCGGGUGAUCAGACGCCGCCCCCCAGUCCUCGUCCAGCGGGUGAUCAGACGCCGCCCCCCAAUCCACCUCCGGCAAAGAAGCAGAAGCAGUCCUGGAUUAUUAACCCGGACCCUUAUGUACCUAAGACCACAAAGGUACCGGAGCCAUCACUGAAGCCUCUCCCCACAAGGCCUUGGGAACGUAGUGCCGAGGAAACUGCCGCGGCCGCGGCUGCUGAUCAUGACAAAUGGAAGGCGGACUGCAAGAAGAAAAGAGAGCCCGAGCCCAAGCCAGUAUUUUCUGAUGAGCAAAAGAAGUGGGCUAAGUCAUUUUUGAGCACACCGUCCCAAGCCGCGAAGAAUCUGCCUGACGACUAUGCACGUGAACUUCGUAGGCAGGCACUCAUGUUGAAGGAGAAGAAAGAGCGGGCGGAGAACCAGGAGAACAAAGCCUUGGAGGAGGCCGAGAAAACGGAAUUAGAAAGUAAAAAAGCGGGAAACGAGUUGCCCAGCUCGGGGAACAAAGUAAACAAUCGAUUGCCCCGCUUAUAGUGAAAGCCGCCGGUCCGGAUGACCCCGAUAUCAUAGUAGCUGCGGCAGCACAUGGAUUGACUGUAACGAGUGCCAGAGAACAAGUGGCCAACUUAGGUAUUACUCUUCGUGAACUGUUAGGCCUUGAUGAGGCGCCAGUGAAGGAGGUAGUAAUUACAUAUGUGAAGAAUGGGCCUCUCGUCGAGCCUGCGCAGGAAAAGGAUCUACCUCCACAAAUGAAAGGUCUGCUGAAAUGGUACAAGGGUUACAUAAAAAAUAAAAACGCCAAAGAAUAUAUUUAUGCGGAAGUUAGAUAUGAGCAUCACUUCAAACAUUACUAUGUACAAAUUCUUCUGAGUGAAUUGUUCCAGCUUUUCAAUCUGCGCGAGCUCGACAAAUCUAUCAUCAGUUGCUACGUUCUGUAAGUGAUUUAUUUCUACCCCAUCUCGUUCAUAUUGCCUGCACUAUAUAUAUGUCCUAACUAUAUUGUUGUGUCCGCUAUUAUACAUGCAGAAUGAAGAUUAAGGAAUGCAGAGUAAGGAACAUCCAUGAUGUUGGGUUCAUUGACCCACACAUCGUUAAUGGAUAUGUGUUGGAGCAUCACCCCGCCGACAUGGAGGCAGACCUGUGGCAGUUUCUUACAAAGCAGGAACUCAAAAGUGAUAUUCUAUUUCCUUACCAUUUUGGGUGAGUGUUUCUGUCUUGAGCACAUUCUCUUUUGUUUACUCCAUGCAUGGUAUGUGGCUGGCUAAUCGAUGAGUUAUGCAUGACGUACUGUGCAUGUAUCGUGUCCGCAGGUUUCACUGGAUUCUGCUAGUAAUUAAAGUUGACACCUCAGAAUGUCUCGUCCACGACUCUCUGAAUAUGGAUCCAAAGCUUUGGGGCGGCAUGAGAAGAAUGCUGCAGAAGUAAUUAUUUUCAUUCAUUUGCGCUCUAUAUCGAUCGGCCUAUUUCGUUCAUUUCCUAAUAUCAAGUAACUAAUAACUCUCUUGUUCAUUUAAUUUUCUUUGCCUCGUAGGGUUUGGAGACGGUUCGUAGAUACAAAGGUCGGUGAAUUCAAAAAAGAGCUAGAAUUCAAAAGGUCAAAGGCUAAGAAUGCUGGGGAUAUUCAGCCAGCGGGGACCAAUCUAUGUGGAUACUAUGUCUGUGAGAUGAUCCGGAGAUACACCUCUGAGCGGGUUCCGAGUGAUACCAAUGCUCAGAGGAAUAACCUCCGGAUGAUGCUUAGUCCAGAAGCUCGCUUCCGACCACUUCAAGAGGAACUAGCUGGAUGGUUCAGCAGGGAAGUCCUCCAUUCUAAAGGAGAACACCAUUACGAGGACGUAGAACUUUAUAUGCAUUAAAUUAUGUAUGGAAACUUGUUCAAAAUUGUAUAUGGUCAUCCGAUGAUAUUGAAUAUAUAUUGUAUAUUCCUCUUGAAUUCUUUUUGGUUCUAAUUUCAAAUUUGUUUGAAAUUGUACAUUCAUAUGCAUGUAUGUAGUACCGUAGAAUAUGUGAAACUCCUUCAAAAUUAAAAUAAAGCACAAAAGAAAUAAAACAAUACAAAUUAAACAGAAAACAGGUUUAGGGGGGGGGGCUAAAACCCUAAACCUGUGGCGGCCUUUAGUCGCGGUUGGCCAGAAGAACCGCGACUAAAGGUCCUCCGCCCCGACGGCCGCCUGGCGCCCACGUGGACGGGCCUUUAGUCGCGGUUCUUAAGCAACCGCGACUAAAGUGGGGGUCCUUUAGUCGCGCCUAUUUGGUCGCGGUUGCGCAACCGCUACUAAUGGCAGUUGCGAACCGCGACCAAAGGCCCUUUUUCCACUAGUGGUGGAGUAAUGUUCGUAAAUUAUAUAUUGCUUUCAAGUUUGGAGCUGGAAUAAUAUAUGUGCUGCAUUUAGUUAUAGUCUUAUAGAUAUACAUGAACAUCCAUUGUAUAUUUCUUGCAAGACAUGGUAACUACUAUUAUUUUGAUUGUUUCCGUGAACUAUUUUGACCUUGAUUAAGAAGUAGAAAGUUUUUAGCCUCGUAGGUUGUUUGAUCUACUAUAUCAAGUGGCACUUGGCUUCUCAUGGCUCUCCUCGCAUUUGCCAAAACAAAAUUAGUACACACUACCUAGAGCUCUGGAAAUUAGAACUGAAAAAUGGUCCUGCGGUUUAUUAGCUGAUAUAAAUCAUGCACAAUCCUCUACAUUUAAAAAUAAACCGGACACAAAGCAGUAUACUUUUUUCCGAGUACUACCUUGAGAGAGCCAAGGGGUUCUGCAUUUUAUAAAGAAGAAGAAAGUUGCCCGGUUCCAUACAUGCUUAUCUGAGAAAUAUAUCUUAUCUAUCUAGUGGAAACCAGGCAAAAACCUACAGAUACAAAAGGCACAAAGUCCCCCACCGGUCGUGACCGAACUACUGUUUUUGGAAAUAUAAAAUGAGCUAGAUUACUAACAUUGAUGUAAUGCUUGUAUGUCAACCUAUUCCUUUAUCGGUUCAAUUACAGAGUUUUGUUAUUAUGUGAAUGGAGUAAUGGAGAGCUAAGAAAAAACAAGGUAACAGUUAGUGUUACUCUUGCGAGGUAGUUUCAAUCAUAUCAUUGUUUGCUUUCCCUUUUCUCCUGCCUAGGUAUGUACAAUUAUUCCAACCCAGGUUUCUUUCAAGAAGGAUAUGGGUAUGUGUUUGAGGAAUGUCUACAUGAUAAAACACACCUUCAAGUUUGGUGAUAGUUAUGCUAUCAAACUUACAAUGGGGGUCUUAAUUUGUAUUUUUAAUAGAGCACUGGGUUCAUUGGUGAGACUUGUGAGGAUGUGCCUAGGCUAAAGAUGGCUCCUAUGUCGGUACCAAGUGGCAUGUGUUUAAAUGGAGUAUCCUUGUCAGGAGAGCUGAUUUCUGAAAUAUGGUACUUUAUGGGUGCAAGGAUUCACCAUGUUGCGGUCUUCGUCAGCGAAGUGGACUCCUAGGAAUUAGUCAAGGCCGCUAUGUUGUUUUAAGCUGAUAUUCUAUUGUACUUGUAUUUUUUUUGCUUAUCUAGUUGUUUGCCAUGCAGUUCUCGUUGUUGGUGGGGACAUUUGUUGUCUAAGAUCGACCUCAAAUAUCUGGUGGCACUAUAGCAUGGCUUUUGAUAUUCUAAUGUAUAUCUCUUACAAAAUAUUUCAAGAGCCCGUGGCAACGCACGGGCAUUAUACUAGUGUAAGUAAGGAUGGAGAUGAAGAUGGUGUGGCGACAAGGAUAUAACAAAACGCCUGGUUCCUUCAGCCAAAAGUUGGCAACGUUCCUUGUUACACACGCUCCGCCCAACAAACGCUCCAAAAGCCAAAAUACAAUUCCUCAAACAACGGCCAAAGACUACUUCCCCACAUGGAAAAGAAAUACGCACAUGGCGUUACAAUGUUGGCUACUCAUGUCUGAGUUCCUAAACCCUUGCAAAACAGAAAGAAAGGUUGUUUGCUAAACAAAAGAAAGGCCAACACAAUCCUAUCCAAACACUCCACAUUUUUACUAUGUGGCAAAAAUAUGCAACUUUUUUUUGUUUUUAGGUACAUGCCAUUUAAAAAAAACACAAUUUUUUUAUGUUCACACGCCAAGGUAUUUUGUACACAUGGCAAAAUUUUCCGAAGAAGAAAAAUCUCACGACCCCAUGGAUAAUUCAUAACUUUUUGUCUUUCAAGCAGGGCAAUUUUAAGUCAUUUUGUAAUGCUAUUGUGGCAAACGAUGGGAUCUUUAAUCAAUUUUCAUGGCGAAUUUGGGAUUCUUUUCCCUACUUUUUCACAUGGCAAUUUUAUUAUGAUUAAAAUGGAGAUCUUAUUAUUCAAAACAUGGCAGCUUUACUAUUAAGAGCAUGGCAAUUUAAGUAUGAUAGAAUCUCCUCCCCUGCUCGGUCUACCCCACAUGCAUGGCGUAUAACAUCCUCUAGCCCCAAUUGCCGCCAAACCUCUUUAGCCUUAUGGCAUCGAAAUAGUACAUGAAACACAUCUUCUGCUCCUUGUUUACAUGUAGGACACGUCGGCCGGACUGGGAUGUGUCUAUUAGCAAGAACCACAUUGCAUGGCAGUGUUCCGUGUAAGGUUCUCAGAAGAAAAUUUUUAACUUUCGCCGGACAAUUCAGUUUCCAAACCUUUUCCCAUGUUGGGUUAGCACUAGUGGCUCCCAAACCAUCUGUCCUCUGCAAUUUACGACCAUGCUGAAAGUACCAUAGAGCAUGGUAGGCCGAUUUCACUGUAAAAAUUCCAUGUUUAUUCAAACUUCAUGCUACAAAGUCACUCAUAUCAUGUGUAGGUAGUGGUAAAGCAAGGACCCGUUCCACAUCAAUCGGCCAGAAGGUUUGCUCCACAAGUGGCACAUCCCAGUGACCUGUAGCUGGAUCAAUUAAAUCACUCACCUUUGAUAGUAACUGGUUACCUCUUGGGGUAAUAAUCAUUCUGGAUGGUGAGUUAGGAAUCCACGCAUCCCUCCAAACAUUUAUUUUUUCACCAUCCCCUACUCUCCAAAUGUAUCCAUGUUUCUGGGUAUUCACCCCUUGCAUAAUGCUUUGCCAAGUGUAGGAGGAAUUCUUUUUCAGCUUAAUUAAUUUACCAGCACAAGAAGCGGGGAGUGAAAAACUUCCAUGACUUGAUGUCCACUUGCUGCUGGUACCUUUGGUGGGAGAGGAGAAAGCUUGUGCACAAUGAGCCGGUACAAGAUGCGAAGAGAGUUGCGCAAGCGGUAUGUGCUUUAGCUGCUAACUAUGCUAUUGCAUGUGACCCAAAGGCCUCGUUAAAGAGGGGAGGUUGGUGCAAACCCCCUAGUGGAUAUGUCAAGUUAAAUGUUGAUGCGGCCUUUGAUUGGGAUUUGCUUCAGGGGGCGAUGGGAGCAGUCAUCCAGAUGAUAGAGGACAUAUGGUUGUAGCUGGAAACAAGCUCAUUGAUUCAUGUUAUGAUGUACUAACUGUUGAGGCAAUGGCUUUGAAGUUUGGGUUGAAUAUGGCGCUCACAGCUGGGUGCAAUAGACUGAUUGUCAACUCGAAUAAUCUGGAACUCAUGGAAAUAAUGAAUAAGGAUGGCCAAUAUGCUGGAGAUGCCGCGGCCAUUGUCGAUGAUUGUUAUCAUCUGGCUUGCGAAUUUAGCUCUAUUGUCUUCGAAUUUUGCCCCAGAGAGUCGAAUGGGGUUGCACAUGAACUAGCUAGGAUUGCUAGAAGUUCGCUUUGUAAUGAGUGGUUAGAUAAUGCUCCUUCUGAGCUUCUUCACCUCUACUUAAAGAUGUAAGUCUGAUCACGAAUGAAUAAAGAGGAAGUAAAGUUGUCAAAAAAAAAGAGCAUGACAAUUUUAUUUUUAAUGGCAUGUCAUUCUUACCUCUUUUUUUUUGAGAAAAGCAUGUCAUCUUUACUAUGUCCUUCUCGCCUGCUGUAUGAAGUAGGCGGACCCUAGAUGGGCUUUCCCAAUAUUGGUUCCUGGGACAGGGUUCAUGCAGAGUUUUUUUUUCCUGGGCCAAUUUUCAUCUUUUUGUUUGGUUUUCUGUCUUAUGUGUUUCUUUAUGGAUUUUAUUUCUUUCUCAAUACAUGUCCAUUUUUCUAAAUACACACUGUAAAAAUUUACACAUCUUGAACAUUUUUUAUUAAUUGGCAUAAACCUAUUUUUGGAGUGUGUGAGCAUUUUUUAAUUGUCAUGUACAUUUUUCUGAAAGGCAGUAUUUAUUUUGUUGAAUUACGUGAGCAUUCUUUCCACAUUGUAUGACAUUUUCUAAUAAUCUCACGUAUAUUUUUUGAAACACGCGAACAUAUUUUUGAAUGCUAUAAACAUUUUUUAUAUCAUGCUGCAUUUGGUCUAUAUUAGUUUAAACUAAGUCAGUGACAAUUAAUAUGGAUCAUAGAGAGUACAAUUUUGUACAUGAUGUUUAUACUUUUAUAUUUCACUUUCAACAUUUUUUAUUUGUUAAACUCUAUUGUGUUUUUGGAAUAAGUGUAUUUAGAAUAUAUUUUUUUAAAUGUAAAUAAAAUGGAGCGAAUGAAGAAGCAGAGAAGAAAAACGAAGGCCGGCCAAAUGUAUGGCGUUCCCUGCCUCAUACCUGCAAAUCAAGCUAAGCAGCGGGUGAUAAUUUUUUACACAAUGUUUAUAGUUUUCUAUUUCACUUUGAACAUUUCAAAAUUUUAAGGAAAUUAUUAUUUUUAAAUAAAUGUUUUUAGUUUUUUUAAUAAAAAGGUGAAAAAAAGGAAAUUGAGCGAAUGAAGAAGCAGAGAAGAAAAACGCCCUUUCUUUCAUCAACUGAACUGCGUGCGUGCAUGGAAGGGCUAUCAUCUGCACUUAAGAGGAGUGACUUACCUAUCAUUGUGGAGAUGGACUCUAUUCUUGCAGUCAAACUGAUCCAAUCGAGGGAUUUGGACAAAUCUAUUUAUGCUUGGAUAGUUAAGGUGAUCAAGUAUGUUUUGGGGAUUCGUGGUUCUUGUAUUACUCAUGUAAAUCGCUCUUAAAAUAAAGUUAGCGACUGCUUAGCUAGAUUUGCUAAAUUAGAAGGACAAAGCAUGACUUGGGUUGGUUCUGGUCCAGAUGUUGCUGUUGAGCCAGCUAUUGCUCAAUGUAUGGACACCAUGAGUUGAGUAAUGCAAAAAAAAAAAAAAAGUUUGCGCAGAAUUAUUUUCGACCUGCCUCAUAUCUCUACUCUUAAUGGACGACUUGGUGAAUAGUCUUCAUGGUUUAUUUUCGCUGUUUUUUUUUGUCAUCCUCCCACCUCACGGUUUCAAAAAAACCAACCAAAACCAGAGGCCCGUCCCACGAAACGAAACCCAAUUUGCCCCCGUACCAUCACUCCUCCCUCUCCCUCUACCUCCCUUGUCUAGGGUUCCCCGCCACCACUGCGGCAUCCGCCGCCGAAUCCUAGGUCGCCGCACACCGUCGCCGCCGCCGCGAAUCCCCAGGGACGCCGCACGCCACCGCCGUCGCGAAUCACCAGAGACGCUGCACGCUGCCGCCGCGGAUCCCCAAGGGCGUGGUCGCAUUGUACUAGACAAAGUGUGGUCGCCGUCGUCCUCUCCUCGUCCGACCUUGACCUCAUCCCUUCGACUCCGGUGACUCCUCUGUGGCCCGGGCGGCCCUGGCCGACGCCGUCACAGCCAACGCCGGCCUCACCUCUGCGGCCUCACGCACUGCCGCCGCCGAGGAGCCGGCCUGAUAGGUUUGAACCAUCCCUUGAUCCCUCGAGUAUUCUGCGUCCCUUGAUGGCUCGAUUCCUUGUCUUCUCCAUCUAUCAAUCCCUCGCAUCCUUGCAUGCUACGAAGAGAAUGGUUCCCUUUCUACAGGGUCUGGUGUGAAAGAGUUGGAGCAAGGAGGACGUGUGCGGCCACUUCGCGCUUCGGCGAGAUCCUCAAGGUUGUCAUCGCAGACAAGGGCACUGGAAGAUCCAAGGGCGGCGGAUUCGUGAGUACCGCCCAAACAAUUCUCUCCUCCCCUCAUCAUCGAUUGAUCUUCCUGUAGUUAAUUUUCUUGCUUAAUUCAGCCCCGUUAGUUGAUGCUAUGCCUGGAUGGAUGCUUGGCAUGUUACGUUCCAGGAAGCGGAGGCGGCCAUUAGGGCGUGCUUGGGUCCGUACCCGGUGAUUGACGGCCGGAGGGCCAACUGCAACCUCGCCUGCCUCGAGGUCCAAGGCGCCACAACGAAAACGCCCGCCUCGAUACUCAGCUUCAAGGGAUGUGUCCUGCCACGGGUAGUGCCAUCACACCGGCACAAUGAACUCCCGUGCAACCCAGCAUCCGCAUUGAGACAUCUUUCUUGGCGCUGCCAUUGCUGCCGUACUCUGACAGUCCAUGCAUUGACGCAUCGAUUCAGAAGGUGAGCCCCAGCGACGGCUCCGGAAGAAGGGAUUGGCUGCAGCUGAUUUGGGAGGCCCAGUCGGGGAGAGCAGGGAGGAGGAGCAUCGAUGAUAUUCCUCCCGUCCCAUAGCCAAAGGGAGUGUCAGCGCACCCAGCGGCGGCACAUCUUGCGGCAGCAAUUGACGUAUCGUACCAGGCGGCUGUGUAGCUGGUGAAGUGGUGAGUGCAAAGUGUUUGUGCUAAUGAUUGAGCGGAGUUAUCUUAUGAUUGUCAUAUCACACUAUUUACGAGUAGUAAUGCUUAACUCCGUUGCCUUAGCGUGUGAUUGUGUCAUGUCCGUGACAAUACUAAUGCUCAAUGUUGUUGCCCGAGAGGCCCUUUUUGUAGUUAUCAUAAACGAGUAGGCAGCAUGUAAGAGCACCCACAGUGCUUAGAUGUAUGCUCAUUGCCCUUAAGCAGUGCGUUCUUGUCAACUCACAAGAUUGUACUAUUGUAUUUUGUAGGUACAUCUGAAGAUUCAUCUGCAGUUAGGUAGAAAAUGAUUCAUGUUUUACAUCCAAAAGUUAUACAUUUUUCAGGCUGUAAGCACCUUUAAAGUUAUUCAUGCAUACUUUUUUCAGGCUGUAAACUGCACCCUUAUAGUUAUUCAUGCCUUUUCUUUUAUAUAGUCGUGAUACUUAGAAUACUUAUAUAUUGUCAGUUAUAGGUAAUAUGUUCCAUCAAACAGGAGUUUACUCAGUAUUCAAUAAGAUAUUUUAUUUUUAAUAGUUAUAAGAGGAGACCUGCAUGAAAAACAAGAGUGCAGUUGGUUCAAUCAAAUAGAACUGCAGGUUGAUGGGGGUGGUUUAAUAAAAAGAAAAAGAUGAAAUAGAUUGGUGUUUAUUUAUUCUCUGCGGAAAAUUUUGGGCUCUUUUGUUAUGCUUGCAACUUUGUUUUGGAAUAGGGUAGUUAAAGUGUACUUUUCUUAUGGAAGGCAUGAAAAAGCAUGCGUAGCUAAUUACAACUCAGAAACAAAUGUCUUUGUUUCAAAAAUGACAAUGACGGAAUAAAUUGUUUCAAAAAAUAACUACAAAAAUCUAAAAAUCUAAACAUAGUGAUCAGAUGAACACGGUGGCCACUGAUGAUGUUGGAAUUAGGAUAAGUAGCGAGAUGGGUGGGAGGGCAUGUUGAAGUAGAGAACAUGGACUUGCGGGGAGGAGGGGUGCUUACUUGAGCCAAUUUAUUAGAUUAAGGGUGUGCAUGACUUUUUCCAUAUGCACGAAUUAUUAGUUAGUGAGAAUUAAGCGCCAUGCAUUCUUGGUUUGAUUGUUAUUCGUCGACCAUGAGCAAGAAUCUGUCAAUUAAUUAGAUGCUUUAAUUAACUUAUAUGUAAUGGCAGGGUGUCCAUGUUGAACGGAAACGCCUAUGGUUGCCCUUCAAGCACUAACAAAUUGGAAAUUCCAAGCCCUGCUGAGAUUACGAGCAGAGUGGAAAGGGAAUCAACACCAUCACGCCAAAACAUUGAAGGUGAAUAAGUGGACCACUAUCUAAGUAAAUAGACGAACCAUAUUUUGUUAGAACUAAGCAGUUGCUGCUAAUAUAAUCCUCUCCAGCAAGAUCAGUUUCGGACAAUAUAAUUUGCUAUUCACUUUCUAUGUGUUUAAGCAUGCUCAAACUCAAUACAAAUGAACAUAAUUCUUUUUUUUAGGUCAUUGCAUGACAAAUAAGAAUACUUACAUCACUGAAUUUCUGAUGUUUUUCUGUCGGAAGUUAGUUCAGUUAGGCACUUCUAAUUGCUUAAGCUCGAUUUCACUCAAGUUUGAUAUAAUCUGCAGGAGCAAUCCAAGAGCUAAAAACUACAGUGAUCUCACUAUUCACCAAGUAUUGUUAUUUUCUCUACCUACGUCCUAAUCAGGUGUGUCACCUUGUGUUGACUUUGCCUACUGAAUUAUAACGAGUCUUGAACUUUGUUAUCUGAUUUUCCUUAUCCUACUUCUUAGCUUUUCAUGCUAUUCUGCGCGCUGUGCAUAAUGUGCAUUUCUUGUUAUUUGCUAAUGUGUACUGGACAAGCGCGGCAGCAAAUUCAUAGUGUGCAUUUCUUGUUAUUUGCCAAUGGUUGUACUGGACAAAGCAUGGUCUUUUGUCCAAACACAUCCCUUAUGUUAUGUCCAAAAUUAGGUUGUUAGUCCUUUUUAGUGGGGUGCACUUAUAUCUCAAUUUUUCCUCCAGUUGUUUAUUACAUAUUGUGAUAUUGGUACAAAGGCUGCCACAAAAGACGAGCAUGUCUGGAUCAGCAAUAUGUCAGGUGNNNNNNNNNNNNNNNNNNNNNNNNNNNNNNNNNNNNNNNNNNNNNNNNNNNNNNNNNNNNNNNNNNNNNNNNNNNNNNNNNNNNNNNNNNNNNNNNNNNNNNNNNNNNNNNNNNNNNNNNNNNNNNNNNNNNNNNNNNNNNNNNNNNNNNNNNNNNNNNNNNNNNNNNNNNNNNNNNNNNNNNNNNNNNNNNNNNNNNNNNNNNNNNNNNNNNNNNNNNNNNNNNNNNNNNNNNNNNNNNNNNNNNNNNNNNNNNNNNNNNNNNNNNNNNNNNNNNNNNNNNNNNNNNNNNNNNNNNNNNNNNNNNNNNNNNNNNNNNNNNNNUAAAACACAUAGACUGUUUUUAUUUUACUAAAAUGUCUACUGCCGACGCAUGUUUGAACUGAAAUGUAUUCUGUUAACAAUUUAUGCUUUACCUUAAUUUCUGCUUUGUGUGCAGGCCCUAGCAGAGCUUGAACCUUCUUCAGCAAAUAAGGGUCACUGAGUUCUUAUAGUCAGUCACUGGACCACAAUGGUUGAUAUCCUUCAAUGGACACUGGAAGUAAUAUGAGCUACAGAUAUGCGUCUCAAUGGGGGGUUAUUUCUUUCCUCAACAAGUUACAGUACAGUAGCAAAGGUAAAGUGAACACACAACUUGAUUGUAUGGUUCUUAGAAUGUCACUGUACUCAGAGGCAGAGGACGAAAAAAAAUUAAGGUGUGGCGAAAUCUUAGGAAAAUAUUUUUUUUGAUGCAAAUUGAAAUAGUCAAUACAAAGUACAAACGAAAAACCAAAUACAAUGAAAAUGUAGACAUGUUUCAAUAGAAAAACAACCUAAAACAUACCAAUAAUCAAGUUUUCAAUGGCGUCUAGAAGACCUAGGUAAUGGCAAUGACCUACCCUCCUUCUGAAAAUCUUCCUUAAUUUUACUAUCAAUACUUUUGAAGAUCUCUCGCUCAAUAUAACAAACCAUCAAGUCACUUGAUCUUCAUGAGUGACAUGUGCCCAAACAUUGACACUUUAGCGGGUGCUUGGAUUCGAUUUCGAGCUGCUGCCACUACCAUUACUUCAAAAUACUUUGUCAAAUAUGCAAUCCAUAACAUCAAUUUGUAACUCAAUUCUGAUUGGUUUCAAGCUGCUGUUAUGCUACAAAUUUUCAUAGACAUGAGCAAUCUACCGCUUCCACCCCAUUCCUUUGGAUUUGCUGGUCCCUUCCCCUCCUUUUCCAUCUUAUGGCCAGAACUGCACCGGACUGGAGCCGCCGCCGUCAGCUGCCCCGUCGUCGGUCACCCGCCUGUUCAUCAGCCCAAUUUUCAUUACAUUUAUUACAAAAACUAAACUUUGCUAGCUCAUGAGCUACUGAAUUAGCAUCACGAAAACAGUGUGAAAAGAUGACCUUCCCUAUCACUAGUAGAAAACGGAGCUUUAAAACCGGUUUGUAAGGGCCUUUAGUGCCGGUUAUGGAACCGGCACUAAAGUGUGGGCACUAAAGGCCCCCCCCUAGUACCGGUUCGGCAUGAACCGGCGCUAAAGUGCCACCACGUGGCGUGAGCUCGCGCCCUGGUAUGGGGGACCUUUGGUACCGGUUGGUGUUACCAACCGGUACUAAAGGUUUUUUUUGAAUUUUUUUUUUGAAAAUUUCGGAAAAAAAUUUUGAUUUUUUUUUUGAUUUUUAAUUUUUCUGAAUUAUUUGAUGAUUUAGUCUCUAAUCACCUCUCUUAACUGCUCAAGUGUGGAUCACUCAUUCCAAAUCAUCUAACUGUUGGGGAACGUAGUAAUUUCAAAAAAAAAAUCCUACGCACACGCAAGAUCAUGGUGAUGGCAUAGCAACGAGAGGGGAGAGUGUAUGUCCACGUACCCUCGUAGACCGUAAGCGGAAGCGUUAGCACAACGCGGUUGAUGUAGUCGUACGUCUUCACGAUCCGACCGAUCCAAGCACCGAACGUACGGAGCCUCCGAGUUCAGCACACGUUCAGCUCGAUGACGUCCCUCGAACUCCGAUCCAGCCGAGUGUCGAGGGAGAGUUCCGUCAGCACGACGGCGUGGUGACGAUCUUGAUGUUCUACCAGCGCAGGGCUUCGCCUAAGCUUCGCGACGAUAUGACCGAGGUGGAAUAUGGUGGAAGGGGGCACCGCACACGGCUAAGGAACGAUCCGUAGAUCAACUUGUGUGUCUAUGGGGUGCCCCCCGCCCCCGUAUAUAAAGGAGCCAGGGGGGAGGAGGCCACCGGCCUAGGGGGCGCGCCAAGGGGGGAGUCCUACUCCCACCGGGAGUAGGACUCCCCUUUUCCAAGUUGGAGUAGGAGAGAAGGAGGAAAGAGGGGAGGAGGAGAAGGAAAAGGGGGGGCGCCGCCCCCUUUCCCUUGUCCUAUUCGGACUAGGAGGGGGAGGGGCGCGCGGCCCCCCUCCUUGCUCCUUCCUCUUCUCCCUCUUGGCCCAUGUAGGCCCAUUAACCUCCCCGGGGGGUUCCGGUAACCUCCCGGUACUCCGGUAAAAUGCCGUUUUCACCCGGAACCAUUCCGAUGUCCAAAUAUAGGCUUCCAAUAUAUCAAUCUUUAUGUCUCGACCAUUCCGAGACUCCUCGUCAUGUCCGUGAUCACAUCCGGGACUCCGAACAAACUUCGGUACAUCAAAACUUAUAAACUCAUAAUAAAACUGUCUGUUAGAGUCAGAUCCUCCGACGGAGCCGCAUAGUAAUGAACAACGUGGAGUGCAAGUCAAGCAGCUACCAAAUAGAUAGUUUCCAUCUCUGUUGGUCUAUUCGUAUUGUAUACAAACUCUGUAAUUUUUGGAUGCAUAUAUAUACGAGGAGGCUGUACCGUGGCUGGCAUUGAGCCGCCCGGUGUAUUCCAAUUUACGUGGUAUCAGGCCACAUCGUUCCUCUCCUGUCAAGACUCGAUCUCAAAACCUAAUCGCCGCCGCCGUUGCCGUUGCCACCAUCGUCGCUUCCCACAGCCUCCUUCUUCUCUGCCACCAUGAACGCUGACGACCUCAAGAAGCUUGAAGAGGAGCUCAAGCAACGCGAGUCCAUCAUCAGAACUCGCGAGGAAGAACUCCGGUGUCUUGCCGAGGAGCGCGGCAAGAUAGUUCUCGCAUCCACCCCUGCACCUGUUCCUGCACCGUCCUCCUAUGCUGCUUCAAUCAAGACAUAUGUUCCCAUCACUCUUGAUCUUCAGGAUUCCAACUACGCCAAAUGGCGUGAGCUUUUUCUCGUGGUCCUUGGGCGCUACGGCCUCUCCAGCCACGUCGGCGGCGGCGGCGCCGCCGACGCCACCCCCUCCGACACGUCGCCUACCUUGGAUUGGGGACGCGAUGACUACACGGUGCUCUCCUGGAUCUACGGUUCGGUCUCCAUCGAGCUCUUCGGCAUCAUCAUGGCUCCCGGCUCCACGGCGCGGCAAGUCUGGGACUCCAUUGCCAACCUCUUCCACGACAAUAAGAAAAGCCGCGCCUUAGCCCUCGAUGCCGAGUUCCGCAACACUCCACAAGGGGACAUGUCUAUUCAUGACUACUGCGCCAAACUCAAGUCUCUUGCCGACGCUCUCGGUGAUGUCGGCCAAAAUAUCACCGACGAGACGCUCGUCCUCACAGUGCUCCGCGGCCUCAAUGAACAAUUCAGUCAUCUUCGGUCUUUUCUACUGUUCCAGGUGCCGUUCCCAUCCUUCCUGCAGACACGUUCCGCUCUCGUCCUCGAGGAGACGCAGAAAAAGACGGACGCCAAGAACGCGGCGGCAACCGCACUCUGGGCAAGCAGCAACAGCAUCCUCCCUCAUGCUGGCGGGGAGCGUGCUCCUUCUUCUAGCCGCGGCACUGGCUACAACAACAGCGACUCACGCAACGCCGCCACACACUCCACCACGCCCUACCCCAACCCUGGCCGCGGCAGUGGAAAUGGCGGACGCCGCGGACGUGGAGGCGGCCGCGGACGAGGCCGCGACAAUCCUUGGAUGUUCAACCCAUGGACCGGCCUCCCGACUCGGGCUCAACAACAACAACAACAUCCUCCCACUGCACCGUGGCAGCCCCGCUGGCGUGCUCGCAGCGCCGGCGUCCUUGGUCCUCACCCCGGUGCAGCUCCUUUCCAGGCGUACACUGCAUAUGGUCAGCAACACACCAACAACGGUGGCAUGAUGCCGUCACCAUCUACAAGCUAUCCAGGAGGUCACCAGCAACUUGAUCCAGCCUUGCUGAACGCACUUCAGAACAUGCAGCUUCCUGGCAAUCAAGAGUGGUACAUGGACUCUGGAGCAUCAUCCCAUAUGGCAUCCGAUCAUGGUAUUCUCUCCUCCUCCCAACCCUCCUCUGCUCACACCGUCACUGUUGGUAACGGUGCCUCCCUUCCCAUCUCUCACAUCGGCACACACACCCUGCCCUCUCUUUCGAAACAUUUAUAUCUUAACAAUGUUCUUGUCGUUCCACAUAUCAUCAAAAAUCUUCUUUCCGUUCGCAAACUUACCACUGAUAAUUUUGUUUCGAUAGAAUUUGACCCUUGGGGUUUUUCUGUGAAGGCACUUCCCACAAGGAUCGAGAUUCUUCGAUGCAAUAGCUCCGGACCACUCUACCCAGUAUGUCGUCCCACGCCCGCCGAAGCACAUGUCAUCACCACCACCCUCGACCUUUGGCAUCGCCGACUUGGACACCCCGGUCAUCACACCAUGAAGCGUCUUCAAAGUUCUUGCCAUAUCUCCUACAAUAAAAUCAUGCCAUCCAUUUGUCAUGCUUGUCAGCUUGGGCGACAUGUUAGAUUACCCUUUUAUCCAUCUGUUUCUUAUAUUAGCAAACCUUUUGCAUUAUUACACUGUGAUCUUUGGACUUCUCCCGUACCCAGUACAUCUGGCUUUGCCUAUUAUCUUAUAAUUGUCGAUGAUUUCACUCAUUAUUUUUGGACUUUCCCACUGCGCAAGAAAUCUGAUGUCUAUGCAACACUUCUCACCUUUCAUGCUUACGCUCGCACUCAAUUUAAUCUAUCUAUUUUAGCUUUCCAAUGCGACAAUGGACGAGAGUUUGACAAUACAAAAAUAGAUACUUUCUGUGCCUCUCACGGUAUUCUCCUUCGCUUCUCCUGUCCAUACACCUCUCAACAAAACGGCAAGGCUGAAUGAGCUAUUCGCACCACCAACAAUGUCAUACGUACCCUUCUGGUCCAAGCUUCUCUCCCCCCAUCCUUCUGGGCCGAAGCACUACACACUGCCACCUUUCUUAUAAACAUUAGACCGACGUCGUCUACCAAAUUUCUCACACCAUAUGCAACUCUUCUUGGUUCGUCACCCCCAUAUGACUCACUUCGUGUGUUUGGUUGCCUCUGUUACCCUAACACUACAUCCACAUCUUCCAACAAACUAUCUCCACGCUCCACAAAAUGCAUCUUUCUUGGGUACCCGACACGCCAUAGAGGUUAUCGGUGUCUUGAUUUAACCACACGACGGAUCAUCAUCUCUCGUCAUGUGGUUUUUGACGAGUCCUCCUUCCCCUAUGCACCCGCCCCCAUUCCUAAUCCACCACGUUGUACAGAAAUUUUCGACCCACCUGAACCAAUCCAUCCGCUUGUUCCCCCUGCCAUGCAUGCAUCCCCUCCACCUGCGCCAGCUAUGCAUGCGCCUGCUAUGCAUGUGCCCAACACCCCGCCACCAACGCCUCAUUCUUCUGGCUCGUCUUCGACCCCGCCUACUAGCACCCCGCUCGCUUCUCCACCACCGGGCUCUUCCUCUACUCACGGGGUGCAGCCUAGCCCACCUGUGCAAUCCACCCCACCUGGCUCGCCAUCCCCUAACCCCAUACCACCGCCCGCUCCACUACAUCGUACACGCUCCACUACUGGCCGGCUUCCUCCACCCAUCGACCGCCUUAACCUCUCUGCUAUUGCUUCUUCUCCACUCCCACACAACUAUCUUAUGGCAUUACGCGAUCCCAACUGGCGUCAAGCCAUGCAAGAAGAGUUUGAUGCUCUCAUCCUAAAUAAAACAUGGACUCUUGUUCCUGCUCCUCCCGGUGCAAAUGUUGUGAGUGGUAAAUGGAUUUUUCGCCAUAAAUAUCAUGCCGACGGCUCUCUCGCUCGUCACAAGGCUCGUUGGGUAGUCCGUGGUUUUACGCAACAACCAGGAAUUGACUUUGAUGAAACCUUCAGUCCUGUUGUUAAACCUGCCACUAUUCGCAUUGUUCUCUCUCUUGCUAUCUCUCAAUCUUGGCCCAUACACCAGCUUGAUGUAAAAAAUGCCUUCCUCCAUGGCCAUCUUGAUGAAGUUGUCUAUAGUCAACAACCCUCUGGCUUUGUUGAUCCACGUCACCCCACUUAUGUGUGUCGUCUUCUUAAAUCUCUAUAUGGUUUAAAACAAGCUCCCCGCGCAUGGUUUCAGCGGUUUGCCACCUUUGCGCGCUCCAUUGGGUUCGUUGAAUCCAAAUCCGAUGCCUCUCUUUUCAUUUUUCACCAGGGCACCAACUUAGCAUAUCUCCUUCUUUAUGUCGAUGACAUCAUUCUUACUGCCUCCACCCCAUCUACUCUUGCUACUAUCACACAUGCCAUGGCACGUGAAUUUGCUAUGAAGGAUCUUGGCCCCCUACAUCACUUCCUUGGCAUUUCUGUUACACGUACUUCUAGCAGCCUCCACCUCUCUCAACGAAACUACAUUCUUGACAUCUUGAAUCGUGCAGGCAUGCGUGAUUGUCAUCCCGUCCCUACACCUAUUGAUACCAAAGCAAAACUCUCCUCCACAUCUGGGUCCCCUGUUUCCGAUCCUUCUCAGUAUCGUAGCUUAGCUGGCGCACUACAAUAUGCUACACUCACUCGUCCCGACACUGCUUACGCCGUGCAACAAGUAUGUCUCCAUAUGCACGAUCCACGAGAACCCCAUUUCUCUCUCAUAAAAUGCAUUCUCCGCUAUCUUCAUGGCACUCUCGACCUUGGUCUUUCUCUGCAUCGCACUUCUUCUCACUCUCUCAUUGCCUACUCGGAUGCCGACUGGGCUGGUUACCCGGACACACGACGCUCUACGUCUGGAUUUUGCAUGUACCUCGGUGAUAAUCUCAUUUCUUGGUCCGCACAACGACAAACGACCGUCUCCCGCUCUAGUGCCGAGGCAGAGUACAGGGCAGUAGCUGCGGCUGUUUCAGAGUCAUGUUGGGUUCGGCAGCUCCUACAGGAACUUCGACGGCCGAUCUCGACUGCCACAAUUGUCUACUGUGAUAAUGUCAGUGCCGUCUACUUGUCUGCCAACCCCGUUCAGCAUCGACGGACCAAGCAUAUUGAGCUGGAUAUUCACUUUGUUCGGGAGAAGGUCGCCCUAGGAGACGUGCGCGUUUUACAUGUACCCUCGUCCUCGCAGUUCGCGGACAUUUUCACGAAGGGUUUGCCUACUACUCUUUUUCAAGAGUUUCGCUCCAGUCUUCAGGUCGAGAGCUCUCCCGGUUCAGACUGCGGGGGCGUGUUAGAGUCAGAUCCUCCGACGGAGCCGCAUAGUAAUGAACAACGUGGAGUGCAAGUCAAGCAGCUACCAAAUAGAUAGUUUCCAUCUCUGUUGGUCUAUUCGUAUUGUAUACAAACUCUGUAAUUUCUGGAUGCAUAUAUAUACGAGGAGGCUGUACCAUGGCUGGCAUUGAGCCGCCCGGUGUAUUCCAAUUUACACUGUCAUCAAAAACGUUAAGCGUGCGGACCCUACGGGUUCGAGAACUAUGUAGACAUGACCUAAAACCAUUCUCGGUCAAUAACCAAUAGCGUGACCUGGAUGCCCAUAUUGGUUCCUACAUAUUCUACGAAGAUCUUUAUCGGUCAAACCGCAUAACAACAUACUUUGUUCCCUUUGUCAUCGGUAUGUUACUUGCCCGAGAUUUGAUCGUCGGUAUCCAAUACCUAGUUCAAUCUCGUUACCGGCAAGUCUCUUUACUCAUUUCGUAAUAUGUCAUCUCAUAACUAACUCAUUAGUUACAUGCUUGCAAGGCUUAGGUGAUGAGUAUUACCAAGAGGGCCCAGAGAUACCUCUCCGACAAUCGGAGUGACAAAUCCUAAUCUCGAAUUAUGCCAACCCAACAUGUACCUUCGGAAACACCUGUAGAGCACCUUUAUAAUCACCCAGUUACGUUGUGACGUUUGGUAGCACACAAAGUGUUCUUCCGGUAAACGGGAGUUGCACAAUCUCAUAGUUGCAGGAACUUUGUAUAAGUCAUGAAGAAAGCAAUAGCAGUAUACUAAACGAUCAAGUGCUAGGCUAACAAAAUGGGUCAUGUCAAUCACAUCAUUCUCCUAAUGAUGUGAUCCCACUAAUCAAAUGACAACACAUGUCUAUGGUCAGGAAACAUAACCAUCUUUGAUUAAUGAGCUAGUCAAGUAGAGGCAUACUAGUGACUAUAGUUUUGUCUAUGUAUUCACAUAUGUAUCAUGUUUCCAGUUAAUACAAUUCUAGCAUGAAUAAUAAACAUUUAUCAUGAUAUGAGGAAAUAAAUAAUAACUUUAUUAUUGCCUCUAGGGCAUAUACCACUUGCACUAGAGUCAAUAAUCUAGAUUACAUAGUAAUGAUUCUAACACCCAUGGAGUCUUGGUGCUGAUCAUGUUUUGCUCGUGAGAGAGGCUUAGUCAACGGGUCCGCAACAUUCAGAUCCGUAUGUAUCUUGCAAAUCUCUAUGUCUCCCACUUGGACUUGGUUCCGAAUGGAAUUGAAGCGUCUCUUGAUGUGCUUGGUCCUCUUGUGAAAUCUGGAUUCCUUUGCCAAAGCAAUUGCACCAGUAUUGUCACAGAAGAUCUUCAUUGGUCCCGAUGCACUAGGUAUGACACCUAGAUCGGAAAUGAACUCCUUCAUCCAGACUCCUUCAUUUGCUGCUUCAGAAGCAGCUAUGUACUCCGCUUCACAUGUAGAUCCCGCCACGACGCUUUGUUUAGAACUGCACCAACUUACAGCUCCAUCGUUUAAUAUAAACACGUAUCCGGUUUGCGAUUUAGAAUCGUCCGGAUCAGUGUCAAAGCUUGCAUCGACGUAACCAUUUACGACUAGCUCUUUGUCACCUCCAUAUACGAGAAACAUAUCCUUAGUCCUUUUCAGGUAUUUCAGGAUGUUCUUGACCGCUGUCCAGUGAUCCACUCCUGGAUUACUUUGGUACCUUCCUGCCAAGCUUAUUGCUAAGCAUACGUCAGGUCUGGUACACAGCAUUGCAUACAUGAUAGAGCCUAUGGCUGAAGCAUAGGGAACAUUUUUCAUUUUCUCUCUAUCUUCUGCUGUGGUCGGGCAUUGAGUUUGACUCAACUUCACACCUUGUAGCACAGGUAAGAAUCCUUUCUUUGCCUGAUCCAUUUUGAACUUUUUCAAAAUCUUGUCAAGGUAUGUGCUUUGUGAAAGUCCUAUUAAGCGUCUUGAUCUAUCUCUAUAGAUCUUGAUGCCCAAUAUGUAAGCAGCUUCACCGAGGUCUUUCAUUGAAAAACUUUUAUUCAAGUAUCCCUUUAUGCUAUCCAGAAAUUCUAUAUCAUUUCCAAUUAAUAAUAUGUCAUCAACAUAUAAAACUAGAAAUGCUACAGAGCUCCCACUCACUUUCUUGUAAAUACAGGCUUCUCCAAAAGUCUGUAUAAAACCAUAUGCUUUGAUCACACUGUCAAAGUGUUUAUUCCAACUCCGAGAUGCUUGCACCAGUCCAUAAAUGGAACGCUGGAGCUUGCACACUUUGUCAGCACCUUUUGGAUCAACAAAACCUUCCGGCUGCAUCAUAUACAACUCUUCUUCUAGAAAUCCAUUCAAGAAUGCAGUCUUGACAUCCAUUUGCCAAAUUUCAUAAUCAUGAAAUGCAGCAAUAACCAACAUGAUUCGGACAGACUUAAGCAUCGCUACGGGUGAGAAAGUCUCAUCGUAGUCAACCCCUUGAACUUGUCAAAAACCUUUCGCAACAAGUCGAGCUUUAUAGACAGUAACAUUACCAUCAGCGUCAGUCUUCUUAAAAAUCCAUUUAUUCUCAAUGGCUUGCCGAUCAUCGGGCAAGUCAACCAAAGUCCAUACUUUGUUUUCAUACAUGGAUCCCAUCUCAGAUUUCAUGGCCUCUAGCCAUUUUGCGGAAUCUGGGCUCAUCAUCGCUUCCUCAUAGUUCGUAGGUUCAUCAUGGUCAAGUAACAUGACUUCCAGAAUAGGAUUACCGUACCACUCUGGUGCGGAUCUUACUCUGGUAGACCUACGAGGUUCAGCAGAAACUUGAUCUGAAGUUUCAUGAUCAAUAUCAUUAGCUUCCUCACUAGUUGGUGUAGUUGUCACGGGAACCGGUUCUCGUGAUGAACUACCUUCCAACAAGGGAGUAGAUACAGUUAUCUCAUCAAGUUCUACUUUCCUCCCACUCACUUCUUUCGAGAGAAAUUCCUUCUCUAGAAAGGAUCCAUUCUUAGCAAUGAAUGUCUUGCCUUCGGAUCUGUGAUAGAAGGUGUACCCAACAGUCUCUUUUGGGUAUCCUAUGAAGACACAUUUCUCCGAUUUGGGUUCGAGCUUAUCUGGUUGAAGUUUCUUCACAUAAGCAUCGCAGCCCCAAACUUUAAGAAACGACAACUUCGGUUUCUUGCCAAACCACAGUUCAUAAGGCGUCGUCUCAACGGAUUUUGAUGGUGCCCUAUUUAACGUGAAUGCGGCCGUCUCUAAAGCAUAACCCCAAAAUGAUAGUGGUAAAUCGGUAAGAGACAUCAUAGAUCGCACCAUAUCAAGUAAAGUACGAUUACGACGUUCGAACACACCAUUUCGUUGUGGUGUUCCAGGUGGCGUGAGUUGCGAAACUAUUCCGCAUUGUUUCAAAUGUAAACCAAACUCGUAACUCAAAUAUUCUCCUCCAUGAUCAGAUCGUAGAAACUUUAUUUUCUUGUUACGAUGAUUUUCUACUUCACUCUGAAAUUCUUUGAACUUUUCAAAUGUUUCAGACUUGUGCUUCAUUAAGUAGAUAUACCCAUAUCUGCUCAAAUCAUCUGUGAAGGUGAGAAAAUAACGAUAUCCGCCACGAGCCUCAACAUUCAUUGGACCACAUACAUCUGUAUGUAUGAUCUCCAACAAAUCUGUUGCUCUCUCCAUAGUUCCGGAGAACGGUGUUUUAGUCAUCUUGCCCGUGAGGCACGGUUCGCAAGUACCAAGUGAUUCAUAAUCAAGUGAUUCCAGAAGUCCAUCAGUAUGGAGUUUCUUCAUGCGUUUUACACCGAUAUGACCUAAACGGCAGUGCCACAAAUAAGUUGCACUAUCAUUAUCAACUCUGCAUCUUUUGGCUUCAACAUUAUGAAUAUGUGUAUCACUACUAUCGAGAUUCAAUAAAAAUAGACCACUCUUCAAGGGCGCAUGACCAUAAAAGAUAUUACUCAUAUAAAUAGAACAACCAUUAUUCUCUGAUUUAAAUGAAUAACCAUCUCGCAUCAAACAAGAUCCAGAUAUAAUGUUCAUGCUCAACGCAGGCACCAAAUAACAAUUAUUCAGGUCUAAAACUAAUCCCGAUGGUAGAUGUAGAGGUAGCGUGCCGACCGCGAUCACAUCGACUUUGGAACCGUUUCCCACGCGCAUCGUCACCUCGUCCUUGGCCAGUGCUCGCUUAUUCCGCAGUCCCUGUUUCGAGUUGCAAAUAUUAGCAACAGAACCAGGUUCAAAUACCCAGCUGCUACUACGAGCUCUAGUUAGGUACACAUCAAUAACAUGUAUAUCACAUAUACCUUUGUUCACUUUGCCAUCCUUCUUAUCCGCCAAAUACUUGGGGCAGUUCAGCUUCCAGUGGCCAGUCUGCUUGCAGUAGAAGCACUUAGUUUCAGGCUUAGGUCCAGACUUGGGUUUCUUCUCUUGAGCAGCAACUUGCUUGCCGUUCUUUUUGAAGUUCCCCUUCUUCUUCCCUUUGCCCUUCUUCUUGAAACUAGUGGUCUUGUUGACCAUCAACACUUGAUGCUCCUUCUUGAUUUCUACCUCCGCGGCUUCAGCAUCGCGAAGAGCUCGGGAAUAGUCUUGUUCAUCCCUUGCAUAUUAUAGUUCAUCACGAAGCUCUUGUAGCUUGGUGGCAGUGAUUGAAGAAUUCUGUCAAUGACACUAUCAUCAGGAAGAUUAACUCCCAGUUGAAUCAAGUGAUUGUUAUACCCAGACAUUUUGAGUAUAUGUUCACUGACAGAACUAUUCUCCUCCAUCUUGCAGCUAUAGAACUUAUUGGAGACUUCAUAUCUCUCAAUCCGGGCAUUUGCUUGAAAUAUUAACUUCAACUCCUGGAACAUCUCAUAUACUCCAUGACGUUCAAAACGUCGUUGAAGACCCGGUUCUAAGCCGUAAAGCAUGGCACACUGAACUAUAGAGUAGUCAUCAGCUUUGCUCUGCCAGACGUUCUUAACGUCGUCAGUUGCAUCAGCAGCAGGCCUGGCACCCAGCGGUGCUUCCAGGAUGUAACUCUUCUGUGCAGCAAUGAGGAUAAUCCUUAGGUUACGGACCCAGUCCGUGUAAUUGCUACCAUCAUUUUUCAACUUUGCUUUCUCAAGGAACGCAUUAAAAUUCAACGGAACAACAGCACGAGCCAUCUAUCUACAAACAAACAUAGACAAGCAAGAUACUAUCAGGUACUAAGUUCAUGAUAAAUUUAAGUUCAAUUAAUCAUAUUACUUAAGAACUCCCACUUAGACAGACAUCUCUCUAGUCAUCUAAGUGAUCACGUGAUCCAAAUCAACUAAACCAUAACUGAUCAUCACGUGAUAUGGAGUAGUUUUCAAUGGUGAACAUCAUUAUGUUGAUCAUAUCUACUAUAUGAUUCAUGAUCGACCUUUUGGUCUCCGUGUUUCGAGGCCAUAUCUGCAUAUGCUAGGCUCGUCAAGUUUAACCUGAGUAUUCUGCGUGUGCAAAACUGGCUUGCACCCGUUGUAGAUGGACAUAGAGCUUAUCACACCCGAUCAUCACAUGGUGUCUCGGCACGACGAACUUUGGCAACGGUGCAUACUCAGGGAGAACACUACUUGAUAAUUUUAGUGAGAGAUCAUCUUAAAAUGCUACCGUCAAUCAAAUCAAGAUAAGAUGCAUAAAGGAUAAACAUCACAUGCAAUCAAUAUAAGUGAUAUGAUAUGACCAUCAUCAUCUUGUGCUUGUGAUCUCCAUCUCCGAAGCACCGUCGUGAUCACCAUCGUCACCGGCGCGACAUCUUGAUCUCCAUCGUAGCAUCGUUGUUGUUUACGCCAUCUAUUGCUUCUACGACUAUCGCUACCGCUUAGUGAUAAAGUAAAGCAAUUACAGGGCGUUUGCAUUUCAUACAAUAAAGCGACAACCAUAUGGCUCCUGCCAGUUGCCGAUAACUUCGGUUACAAAACAUGAUCAUCUCAUACAAUAAAAUAUAUCAUCACGUCUUGACCAUAUCACAUCACAACAUGCCCUGCAAAAACAAGUUAGACGUCCUCUACUUUGUUGUUGCAAAUUUUACGUGGCUGCUACGGGCUUAGCAAGAACCGUUCUUACCUACGCAUCAAAACCACAACGAUAGUUUGUCAAAUAGACUCCGUUUUAACCUUCGCAAGGACCGGGCGUAGCCACACUCGAUUCAGCUAAAGUGAGAGAGACAGACACCCGCCAGUCACCUUUAAGCACGAGUGCUCGUAACGGUGAAAUCAGUCUCGCGUAAGCGUACGCGUAAUGUCGGUCCGGGCCGCUUCAUCUCACAAUACCGCUGAACCAAAGUAUGACAUGCUGGUAGGCAGUAUGACUUAUAUCGUCCACAACUCACUUGUGUUCUACUCGUGCAUAUAACAUCAACGCAUAAAACCUAGGCUUUGAUACCACUGUUGGGGAACGUAGUAAUUUCAAAAAAAAAUCCUACGCACACGCAAGAUCAUGGUGAUGGCAUAGCAACGAGAGGGGAGAGUGUAUGUCCACGUACCCUCGUAGACCGUAAGCGGAAGCGUUAGCACAACGCGGUUGAUGUAGUCGUACGUCUUCACGAUCCGACCGAUCCAAGCACCGAACGUACGGAGCCUCCGAGUUCAGCACACGUUCAGCUCGAUGAUGUCCCUCGAACUCCGAUCCAGCCGAGUGUCGAGGGAGAGUUCCGUCAGCACGACGGCGUGGUGACGAUCUUGAUGUUCUACCGGCGCAGGGCUUCGCCUAAGCUUCGCGACGAUAUGACCGAGGUGGAAUAUGGUGGAAGGGGGCACCGCACACGGCUAAGGAACGAUCCGUAGAUCAACUUGUGUGUCUAUGGGCUGCCCCCCGCCCCCGUAUAUAAAGGAGCCAGGGGGGAGGAGGCCGCCGGCCUAGGGGGCGCGCCAAGGGGGGGAGUCCUACUCCCACCGGGAGUAGGACUCCCCUUUUCCAAGUUGGAGUAGGAGAGAAGGAGGAAAGAGGGGAGGAGGAGAAGGAAAAGGGGGGGCGCCGCCCCCUUUCCCUUGUCCUAUUCGGACUAGGAGGGGGAGGGGCGCGCGGCCCCCUCCUUGCUCCUUCCUCUUCUCCCUCUUGGCCCAUGUAGGCCCAUUAACCUCCCGGGGGGUUCCGGUAACCUCCCGGUACUCCGGUAAAAUGCCGUUUUCACCCGGAACCAUUCCGAUGUCCAAAUAUAGGCUUCCAAUAUAUCGAUCUUUAUGUCUCGACCAUUCCGAGACUCCUCGUCAUGUCCGUGAUCACAUCCGGGACUCCGAACAAACUUCGGUACAUCAAAACUUAUAAACUCAUAAUAAAACUGUCAUCGAAAACGUUUAGCGUGCGGACCCUACGGGUUCGAGAACUAUGUAGACAUGACCUAAAACCAUUCUCGGUCGAUAACCAAUAGCGUGACCUGGAUGCCCAUAUUGGUUCCUACAUAUUCUACGAAGAUCUUUAUCGGUCAAACCGCAUAACAACAUACUUUGUUCCCUUUGUCAUUGGUAUGUUACUUGCCCGAGAUUUGAUCGUCGGUAUCCAAUACCUAGUUCAAUCUCGUUACCGGCAAGUCUCUUUACUCGUUCCGUAAUACGUCAUCUCAUAACUAACUCAUUAGUUACAUGCUUGCAAGGCUUAGGUGAUGAGUAUUACCGAGAGGGCCCAGAGAUACCUCUCCGACAAUCGGAGUGACAAAUCCUAAUCUCGAAUUAUGCCAACCCAACAUGUACCUUCGGAAACACCUGUAGAGCACCUUUAUAAUCACUCAGUUACGUUGUGACGUUUGGUAGCACACAAAGUGUUCUUCCGGUAAACGGGAGUUGCACAAUCUCAUAGUUGCAGGAACUUUGUAUAAGUCAUGAAGAAAGCAAUAGCAGUAUAUUAAAUGAUCAAGUGCUAGGCUAACAAAAUGGGUCAUGUCAAUCACAUCAUUCUCCUAAUGAUGUGAUCCCACUAAUCAAAUGACAACACAUGUCUAUGGUCAGGAAACAUAACCAUCUUUGAUUAAUGAGCUAGUCAAGUAGAGGCAUACUAGUGACUAUAGUUUUGUCUAUGUAUUCACACAUGUAUCAUGUUUCUGGUUAAUACAAUUGUAGCAUGAAUAAUAAACAUUUAUCAUGAUAUGAGGAAAUAAAUAAUAACUUUAUUAUUGCCCCUAGGGCAUAUUUCCUUCACUAACUUCUCGACCGGUCAUCCAUCCCUCUCACUACUCCAGCCCGAGCACGCUUAACUUUCAGGUUCUAUUCUCCUUCGUUUCCGAGUCUGCACUUGUUGUUUUCCUGACAAUAGUAAGAUGUCAAUCCUAUUAACCCUCAGGAGUUUAGCUUGAGCAUGAAGUCACACAUUUCACCGUUUGAGUUUGAAACUAUUAUUCUAAAAAAACAGUAAUUAUUUAGUAACGCUAAUAUUUCUUGAAUAAGUUUGACCAUAGUUUGACCAUAGUUUGACCAGAUUUGACCAAAAUUCAAAAAAUUGAAAUAAUUAUUUAGUAACACUAAUAUUCUUUGAAUAAUUAAGUAGUAACACUAAUAUUUCUUGAAUAAGUAGUUUGACCAUAGUUUGACCAAAGUUUGACCAGAUUUGACCAAAAUUCAAAAAAACUGAGAUACUUAUUUAGUAACACUAAUAUUAUUACGUAAUUAUUUAGUAACACUCUAUAUUUCUUGAAUCAGUUGUUUGACCGGUUUGACAAGAUUUAACCAAAAUUCAAAAAAACAUAAAUUAGAGCAUAUCUUUUUUUCCUUUUACAAUUUUGUCAUUUCAAAAAUUGUCCUAAACCCUAAACCCGGGACUUAAAACAUCGGAAUCUCUAUGCUAAAUAGUAAAAACUAAGGGUUUAAACCAUAAAACCUAACCCCAAACUCUGAAAUCUAAACCCUAGCACUAAACGCUAAAAACGUCUAAAAACGUCCAAAACGCCCAAAAACUCUAUUUUCCCUUUGGAAUUUUGUGAUUUUCAAAAAUUGUCGAAACGGAAAACUGGCUAGCCAAUCGAGCAGUUACCAGUUAACGAUUUCCUCAACAAUGGUUGUAAGAGAACUCCGCAUACGGUAGACUUUUAUCCCAACUAGUACCAUACUGCAAUGCACAAGCUCUCAACAUAUCUUCAAGAAUUUGAUUGAGCCUUUCUGUCUGUCCAUCAGUCUGAGCAUGAUAUGUUGUACUGAAAUUCAACUUCGUUCCCAAAGAUUUAUGCACUUUCUGCCAAAAGAUGGACGUGAACUGCGUACCUCUAUCAGACACAAUCUUCUUAGGAACUCCAUGCUGACAUACUAUUCUUUCCAUGUAUAGCUCUGCCAAUCUUGCCCCGCUAUAAGUAGUCUUGACAGGCAAAAAGUGAGCGACUUUAGUGAGACGAUCCACUAUUACCCAUAUAGAAUCAUAACCUUGUUGAGUGUGUGGUAAUCCCACUAUAAAGUCCAUUCCGACUUCUUCCCAUUUCCACUCAGGAAUCUUCAUUGGUUGCAACAAACUAGCGGGUCUCUGAUGCUCAGUCUUUACCCUCUGACAAGUGUCACAUAUAGCUACAUACUCAGCCACAUCUCUUUUCAAUCCAUACCAGCAGUAAUUCUCCUUAAGAUUUAGAUACAUCUUAGUACUUCCAGGAUGGAUAGAAUAGGCCAACUCAUGUGCUUCACGCAAAAUUGUAUCAUGAAUGGCUUUCACCUCAGGCACACAUAUCCUUUUCACAAAACAUAAGGUUCCAUUCUCAUCUAUUAUGAAGCCAGGUGCUUUACCAAUCACCACAUUCUCAGCUAUCUCCUUUAGCUUUUCAUCUUCUAGCCAACCCUUACGUAUUUCUUGCUCCAACGUAGGAAUCACUUUUAUCUCCAUAGCACUAGCAACAAUACCAAGAUUCAGAUGUUGCAACUCCGCAUACAACUCUUCUGCCUCUGGUCUCAACUUACGAUUGUUGUCAUAUUUCUUCCUACUAAGAGCAUCAGCUACAACAUUCGCCUUACCUGGAUGAUAAUGUACCUCCGGUUCAUAAUCCUUGAUUAACUCUAGCCCGCGAAGUUGUCUUAAAUUCAAACAUGUCUGAGUGAAUAUAUACUUCAAGCUCUUAUGAUCGGUGUAGAUAUCACUCUUGUGACCAAUCAGAUAGUGUCUCCAGAUCUUCAAUGCAUGCACCGCAGCUGCUAGCUCCAGAUCACGAGUAGGAUAAUUUAACUCAUGCUUCCUCAACUGUCUCGAUGCAUGCGUCGGUGGUGGUGACCUCAUGUCCGCUUGCACCGUGUUCGAUGAAACGCCAACGAGGGUCAAAAGCUUCAAACCGCAUCGGCAUCGCUCGGGUACACGCUGGAGUGCUGGAUGUGAUGCUUGGCCAUCUCCAACUCACGAGCGUGUAAGAGAGAAAUCAUGAGACAGUAAUGAUUUACUUUGGUUUUGCAAUGUUUUUAUUUUAAAAAUAGUUGGUUUAUCUUUGUAAAAUAGUUAUUUACAUGAGAAUUAUUGAACAAAAUAGUUUUUAAAGAGCAAUUUGCAUUCAAGCAGUCUUCAUUCUUAACGAAGCUACGAGUUCACAUUUGCUCUAACCAAAAGGUCUUCAGUUUUUGCCACCACAGGAGCCUUGUAUUAGCUCUUGCGGUGCGAACGGGAGCUCGGAUGUCCGUGCGACUAAGCUGAUCUAUGAAAGUGGCCUUGGUGAUCCUGUGCCCCGGUUGGUAGGUUGGGAGACAGCAGGGAUGCAAACCAGCGCCAACGAUGGGCGAAGAUUGCACGACGGAUGAGCGGCGCUAGAGAUGGAAAAUCUGCUGGAGCAGUUUAGGUGAAAGGAUAAAGAUGUAGUUUUCAUUUUUUUUUCUAAUAAUGAAAGUCAGACUCACUGUAAAGAUCGACGUGGGCUUAACUUUAUGGAACUGGGCCUUAUGACACGUAGGGCCCAUCUGAAGCUUCUAGAGGUGUUAAUCCUGUGGUUGAGAAUGUGUGUGACAAAGCCUGUGUUUGAAGGCAAGAAUCGCAGGGGUGAUUGGGAAGAACACUAAACAGGACAAUUUACAGUACAACAUGAGCAUCUCCAUUAAAAGGCAGCACUUUUCUUUAUCCAAUGUUAGUACUUAGCUAAAGUGAUGAUAACUUUUACUAUGUAUAGAUUGAUAACUUGAUUAAUUCAUGCAGUAUAACAUUCUUGUAGACUGAAAAAUGUACCUUUUUUGCAAUGCAUCUUCCAUUGUAUGAGAGAAUGAUUUUUGUGGUUAAUAAAGGUUCCUCUCUCCUUUAUUUUGUCUUUAUUUUUACAUGGUAGAACAGAAAAUCCGUGUUUAGUGUAGCAAGGGAAUGGGGUAUUUUUUUGGGUACUCUGUUUUGUUGCAUGAAGCUGGUAACAAAAACUACGGGGGGCUGGUAAUUUUUGCACUUAGUUGAUUGGUAACUCACUGCAAUAGGCAAAAUUAUGUUUUCUAGUGGUGAAAGGAUGGUAAUUUUUGCACAGAUUGGGAGGGGGGUCUGGUGGGCGUGGGGUAAGUCUUUGUAUUAAGCAGAAUUUUUUUGGAGAUCUUUGGAUGAGUCUUUGAUUCUUACCAGGGUGAGGUGAUGUUGCCUGGUGAUUUCCUCGCCGUAUCCCUGGUAAUUUCCAGCGCUCCCCUGAUGGAUCUGCUCUUGUUUGAUCCAGAUCUAGAGGAGGGGUAGGUCUUUGCUGUUGAUUUUGAGCAGCUNNNNNNNNNNNNNNNNNNNNNNNNNNNNNNNNNNNNNNNNNNNNNNNNNNNNNNNNNNNNNNNNNNNNNNNNNNNNNNNNNNNNNNNNNNNNNNNNNNNNNNNNNNNNNNNNNNNNNNNNNNNNNNNNNNNNNNNNNNNNNNNNNNNNNNNNNNNNNNNNNNNNNNNNNNNNNNNNNNNNNNNGAGGGUAUACUUGCGUGGAAGGUAGGGGGGGGGGGAAGUUGCGAUCUGGAAAUUGCUGUCGUGGGGGGAUGGCAUUUUCUGUUGGGCCUUGUACAGCGAUUGGCCUUGUUAGCUAACAGGGUGGUCGGCCUGUUUAGCUGGCGGGGUGGCGGGUGAUCGACAGGUAAGGUAAGUUUUCUAUCGGGCACACUGUUGCCAAAUAUCGCUGUCCAUAAACUAUAUGUCCAAUACUUGCACUCACGGGCAUUUUUGCUACUAUUAAUAAAUUGGUAAAAAUCAGAGAAUGCGAGGCCUGGCCAAAUGGGCCGGCCCGGCCUGGGUUAAACGGGCCCGAACCCCUCUUGCCCUCUCUCCUAUAAAAGCUGUGCUUUUACCCCCGCACUCCAUCGCCUCGCCGCCGUUCCCCGCAACACCCUGUCGACCCAAUCUCACAUCCUCCUCUCGCCCGCCCGAGGUGAGCACUUGUAGUUCCUCUGGAUUGGUUGGUAGGCGCUGGUUCGUAGGUCUCGGAUCCAGCCAGCGUGGUCUCCCUCCGCGUGCAUCCGGAGUUUCUCGUUCCGAUUGUGGUUGGUAGGCGCGGCGCGGCGCGGGUUCAUAGGUGUCGGAUCCAGCGCCGUCUGUAUCCUAUUCGUAUGUGGAACCUCGGCUAGGAUAGGAUUUAAUUAGUUAGGUUUUGUAUUAGGGUAACACCACCUAGGGUUCGAUUGAUUAUCCGUAACAAGGAAUCAAUCUGACGUUUUAGUUAGGGUUUGCUUGGUUGGUUGUGGUCAGAUUUUGGUUUCUCAUGAAUUCUUCAACUGUGCCUGUCGCGAUUUUGGGCGGAAAUUGAUGAUUGAUUUCGGGGGCAAAAUCCGAGGUAAUUUGUGGAUGAAAGAUGGGGAAACUUGGGGAAACCAAGCAAAUCCAUGGAUCAAAAUCAACAAAACUUCAUCAUGCCAACAAAUCACAAAAAAAAUUUGGUGGGGAAAUUUCGAAUUAGGACGAAAAACAACAAGAUCAAAGCUAGAAAACGAAUAUUAAUUUGGAUGGAAUUCAUGCUAUGUUGUUCGAUUUCAGUUUAUGCCUGCCAGAAUGUUUAAUUUUUUGUUUUAUCAACUGUGUUUGAGCGUACUAGAUUUUUUGUUGCAUAUUCAUCUUCUUGCUCUGUUUGGAUAGGUAACAAUUAAUAUUUGGGAUCCUAAAAUAUUUAUGCACUGGCAGCACUUAACCUGCAGCUGCUGAUUAAUGUUGUAUUCAUAUGUGCUGCUUUCCAGCUCUCUUGUUUCGAUAGGUAUUUGGUUAUCGUUUGGGUCUAUUUAUUAUCGUUUGUAAAUGCUGGUUUGGUUUUCUGUGCUCACUAUCCCCUUGCACAUGGGAUGCAAUUUUUUUAUUUCCCUGCUGUUUAGUUUAUUGUUUCCUUUGAUGGUAAAGAGGCAUUAAUUCUGGAGAUAGAUGCAAUUUUCUUGCUCACAAUAAUACAAUGAAUGAUGGCAUCUCUAUCUACUUUAACCAAAUUAUAUCAUAUUCCCCCCUCUGUUAAUUAUUUUUCUGUUUUGGGUAUUCAUUCAUUUUGUUUAGUUGCCUAUCAGUAUAAAUACAUGGCUGCAUUGCUUUCACUUCAUAUUAAUAACUAUUCUGUCGCACAAUGCAAAUAUACAUAUGCUGUCCUAACUAAUUAAGUAGAAGCUUGGAUUGGUGCUGUAUGGUCUCUUCCUGACAUUAAAUCCUCCUCUGUUUGUGCUGUCUGUUUCUGCUGCUGCAGUCUUCUUCGCCGCCAAAAGGAAAUGAUGCUCUACAAAAUCCGCUCCCAUGCCCAAAUCCAAGACCUGCAGGCCCGCUCCGAUGAGCUGGGCCUCUCCAAUAAGUCCAUGCUUGUGAGUCUUGUCUCUCUGGAGUCGGUGCGCAUAGCGUGGGAGUCGUAUGCGCUCCUCCGCCCGCUGAUCAAGGAGUCGUGGAUUUGGGUAUGCCCGCAGCUGGAAAUCCUCUCGGACGUGGCAGGCUUGUCGCUGGAAAUCCAAAAGCUCGAGCAUGAUGUGUUACCCCAGCUCAAGCUUCAGGAGGCUAAGCUGGAAAGGGGCGCCCUGGAAGCCCUCCUACUCAUGAAGAACUCAGCUGUUGCGCUCUUACAUUUGAGGAAGUGCUUUAAGGAAGACUUGGGCGUAUUGCUUGCCAAGGAGGAUCUGGUCUCAGCCAAAGUCAAAAGGCUGAGCAAAAUGCUAAAGUAUAUUGCUGUCCGGUUGCUUCAGGAGCGUGAAUGCAACAUUGUCGGGCUUCAGGAGCGUGUCCGGUUGCUGGUCCAGCUGGUCACCGAGGUGUUGAACACCCCGGUUCAUUUCGAUGAUUCUGAUGAGUCUUCUGAUGAGUCUUCUGAUGAGUAGACUUAUCAGCCAGCUCGAGACUGUUGUGAUGAGUGUUUCUUAGGGGCGUGGCAAACAGUUUAGAAUCGAAUGUUGCGAUGUAUUUCUUGUAACCUCCUUUAUGUUUGGAUGUGUUAUUAAUGGAUUUUAAAUUUUAUGUAUUUUGGGUAGUGUUUUCUCAUUCUGUGCUAGUAGGUACAGUCACAUGGAGGUAUUCGCUCUUUUUGGGGAAUAUAUGCCAAAAGAAUAUACUCCCUCCGUUCUUAAAUAUUUGUCUUUCUAGAGAUUUUAAUAAAUGACUACAUACAGAGCAAAAUGAGUGAAUCUACACUUUAAAAUAUGUCUACAUACAUCCGUAUGUUGAGUACAUUUGAAAUGCCUAGAAAGACAAUUAUUUCGGUGUUGAGUACAUUUGAGAUGCCUAGAAAGACAAUUAUUUCGGAACGGAGGGAGUAGUAUCUUAGAAAAGGCAUACUUUAGAAAGGCAUACUUUAGAACAUGGAUGGAUUCACUCAUUUUGCUCUGUAUGUAGUUUGGAUGAAUAUAGACAUACUUUAGAACGUGGAUUCUAAAGUAUGUAGUUUCCUAGUGAAAUCUCUUAAAAGACUUGGGCCCUGUUUGUUUAAGAAGUCCUAGGACUUUUUUUAGUCUAAGUAAAAAGUCUCUAGUCCCUAUCUAUUUGUUUUAAGGAACUAAACAUAAACUAGAGGAUAAUAAAUGACAUGUUAAAAGACCAUGUUGCCCCUAAACAUGGACUAGAGGGUAAUAAACUAGCAGUUGCGGGAGCAGACCAGGGAAAAGUCUUAAAAAGACUCUCAUAUAGGGUCUUUCUCUUUUUAGUCUCAAAUGCCUAGUUUAGCCCCUAAAAGUCCCUCCCGUUUGAUUAAAAAGUGACUUUUUCUAGUCCCUACACAAAGUCCCUGGGAAAAAACACCCACUUAUAUUUAGAAACCGAGGGAGUCCCUACACAAAGUCCCUGGAAACAAACACCCACUUAUAUUUAGGAACCGAGGGAGUAGUGCUUAUCUGUGAGUGUCCAUGAUUAAAGCUUUGCAAAUACCAUAAACAAAACUUCACCCUGUACUUAGCUGAAUUGAAUUGAAAUGUGAUUAGCCUUCCACUAGCCAGCCAAGGAGGAAGGAGCCCACCGUUCCAACCUCCCUAUCUCUAUUUCCUCUUGUUGCGCUCAUCUUCCCCUUCUCCUGACACGUAAAUCUAGUUGAGGACUGCGGCAGAUCUAGUUGCGUUGGUCACCGCGCAACAACCCUAGCCACGACGAGCUCCACCACCGUGCGGUCCGGGAGCCGCGCCGCAGUCCUCAACUAAACUAGGCUGCUCCACCUUGCCGUCACCAGCCCCUUCUCCGCCCACCUCCCCCUUCUCUUGACACGUAGAUCUAGUUGCGUCAGUCGCCGCGCAACAACCCUAGCCACGAUGAGCUCCACCACCGUGCGGUCCGGGCGCCGCGCCACACUCCUCAACUAAACUAGGCUGCUCCACCAUGCCNNNNNNNNNNNNNNNNNNNNNNNNNNNNNNNNNNNNNNNNNNNNNNNNNNNNNNNNNNNNNNNNNNNNNNNNNNNNNNNNNNNNNNNNNNNNNNNNNNNNNNNNNNNNNNNNNNNNNNNNNNNNNNNNNNNNNNNNNNNNNNNNNNNNNNNNNNNNNNNNNNNNNNNNNNNNNNNNNNNNNNNNNNNNNNNNNNNNNNNNNNNNNNNNNNNNNNNNNNNNNNNNNNNNNNNNNNNNNNNNNNNNNNNNNNNNNNNNNNNNNNNNNNNNNNNNNNNNNNNNNNNNNNNNNNNNNNNNNNNNNNNNNAUCUAGUUGUGCCGGUCGUCGCGCAACAAGCCUAGCCACGACGAGCUCCACCACCGUGCGGUCUGGGAGCCGCGCUGCAGUCCUCAACUAAACUAGGCUGCUCCACCUUGCCGUCACCGGCCCUUUCUCCGCCCACCUCCCCCUUCUCCUAACAUGCCCAAAACCCUCUCGAUCUUAAAAGCCCCGUAUCUUUUAUCCUGUUAGGUUUUUGGGGAUUCUAAAAAUCUUCAACGAGGUUCCCCUAGUUGAAUUCGGAUGUAACUUUUCGAGUAGAUGACUUUUCAUAUAAAAAACUUUUUAAUCCGAGUUCGUAUGCAAAGUUAUGCCCAUUUUACUAAAUUCCAGAGAGAUUUUGUAAAUAAAGUCGAAAUUCAUAUUUAUAAAUUUUCCCAACAACUAGACCACAUAUCACACGGGAAACUUCUUUUCUUUUAUUUUUUGAACAUUUCCAUCAUUUUCUUUUAUUUUUUUAAAACUGAAAAGGCGGUCCACAAGGGGGGUGCAUUUAGUAAUGAUGCACCUUCACAAAGUGCGCCAUUACUAUGUGUAUGACUUGGUCAAACCUUGGUCAAAGUUAGUAAUGACGCAAACUUAGUAAUGGCGCACCUAUGCAAAGUGCGCCAUUACUAAGUUUGACCAAGGUUUGACCCAGUCAUACACACAGUAUCAAACCUUGGUCAAACUUAGUAAUGGCGCACUUUUCACCUAGUGCGUCAUUACUGUUUUGGUUACUAAUGGCGUACCUACACAUGACGCGCCAGAUGUAUAGUGUGUCAUUAGUGUCCAUAUUGGCUAUAGCUAUUUUUCUAGUAGUGUGCUAUAUGCCUAGACUCAUUGCAGCCUCGUCGAUCAAACUAAGCUGCCAUCCAGAGGCUACAGAUUCAAGUACACAGGUAGGAAGAACAUAUUGCAGAGAAUCAAAUUAAGCAAGUGGCAAGUAAUGAUGAAUGAAAUUCAGCAAUCUUACCCUAAACAUAGCUACGGCCGCCGUUCAGACAAGGAGAACGGCGAGGGAAGCGUGGAGAACGGCGGGGAAGCGAUGUCGCGACCAUUGUCCUCCUCCUCUUGCGCUUCGGAGUCAUCUUCGACUCGGUUGGAGGCUCCACAAUCUGCAACGGCACCUCGUGCACCGUGGGUUCCUGAUCUAGUGGAUUCUUUACCUUGGAUCAGAACGCUCACCACCUUCGUCUGGUCCACGGGCUGGACGAAUCGGCAUGCUCCAUCGCCCAGAGGAGGAUCUCGACGAAGUGCAUCGGUUGUGCGGGUGAGGGGGGGGAAGCUUUGCCUUCUCUCUACUCAUCAUUUGCUUCAAAGUGGCCAUUGUCGUCCAGUGCAUCUGACUUGUGUUGUGAAACCAAGAACGGAUCUCCGUCAACCUUCUCAUCUUGAUCUGGUCGCCGUAGGCGAUCUCCAUGAAGUCGGCGUUCUCGCCGCCGGCGAUCUGCUCGAUCUGCUGCACCAUCGAAGUUUUUGCGUGGAUGGAAGAGGGGGAUGGAUGUGGAAGCUGGGAAGAGCAAAGUUGCGGCCGCGAAAAGGAGGAGAAGGCUAGGAGAUGGCCGCGGUUGUAAUGGUGAUGGAAGAGGAGAAGUUUCACGGCGGUGGCCAUUUUCAUUGGACGAGAGGGGCAGCGGUUUUGCAUUGGACGAGAGGGCCACCUUAUCAUAUUUUCCUAGGACUAAAAUGCCCCUAGAUUAAAAGGUGUCCCCACCUUAUCAUCAGUACUUUCGAGUACUUUCAUCCGCGUACUUUCGAGUACCACGUAUGUAUGCACUGUUAGAUCGAGGCAAGCGAACGGCUCCAAAAAACGCCAACUACUGUAAAAGUUGUACUGAAGUAAUUAUCAUAUCUCACACUAGUGCAGAACCGGCCUUUAGUGCCGGUUCGUGACGGUCUUUAGUGCCGGUUCACCAACCGGUACUAAAGAGUGGGGACUAAAGGUCUCCCCUUCAGUACCGGUUCGUCACGAACCGGCGCUAAAGUGCAAACACGUGGCACGAGCCAGGCCCGGGUGCGCGUAGGGCUUUAGUACCGGUUGGUAACACCAACCGGUACUAAAUGUUUGGGUGUUUUUUUUAAUUUUUUCUUUAAUUUUGUGUUUUCAAUUUAAUUUAGUGAUUGUUUUACAUUAUAAUGAGUUGUUAAAUCAUUAGGUGAAAGUACCGCGGAUUAGUUUCGACUGGAUGCAUUUGGAUCUAGCUAGCUAAGUGAAUAAGUAUAUGCCAUAUCCAUAUUAUACUUGAUCACCUAAUUAGGUGAUCAAGUAUAAUAUAUAUGGAUAUGGCAUAUAUAUACUUGAUUACUUAGGUAGGAUCCAUCCAGCUGAAACUAAUCUGUGGUCUUUCAUUAAAUGAUAUAAUAACUCAUCAUCAUCAUUAUCAUAUUAAUAUAAAAACUCUUACAUCAUAUCAUCAACAUGAGUAUAUAUAUAUACUCUAGCUAGCUAGCUAAAAAUCAUCAUAGUCGUCAUUAUCACUAUUUAAUCAUCAUAGUUAUUACCGCUAUCUAAUCACCACCAAUAGUAGCUUAAAGAAGAAACAUUCACUUGUACCAGAAGCAAAAAUAUCAUCGAGUUCAACAUGAUUGUCAUGAUAUUAUAAGCGUUCAUAUAUAACACCACAAAAGCAAAUCACUCUUUGAGAUUAAGUUCAAAACGAAGAACACGAACAUGAAAGGACAAGUACUAAGAGCAGCAUGAACUAGCUAAAUCACUCCUGCUAGCUACUCUCUCUCUGGUAAAAUAGCAUAGAACAUGUAUAGCUCUCCUGAUUCAUUAUACUGGAGCAUGCAGAUGAGCCUGUCUCCUAAUCGUGGGCUGCGCUUCUCAUUGCUGCCCCCUAGUACUUCUCUGCGAUCGUUAACAAUUUUCCUCCAAUCUUUCACUAUUAAGCAUUCAUCGCUUGUAGAAAUCUUGAAUGCAUUCAUAUGCAAUGCAGGAUAUCUUGGCCGUAAGCUAACAAUUGACAUGCGACCUUUAGUCUCGAUCACCUGAGGCACAACUGUCAUCGGGAGUACCUGUUGAAGAACAUCGUAUAGUACUUAAUUAAUAUACUUAGUAAUGAAAGUUUAGCAAAAAAAUUAUGUAUGCAAAAGAUGCACUAAGGACAAAUAGUAAAAAUCUUACCAUCAUUCCUAAAUAGAUGUGACCGUAGUUCAAUACCAUCACUAUUGGUCGCACGUUUUGAGUACUAACAUUUCUAAGUGCAGGAAGAAAAUUUGUCUUGACAGUAUGAAGAUCCUCAAGCCAUGAAACAUAAUGACUUAUCUCCUCGCAGUUUAGUUCAACUCCGGGACAGUAGUAGGUCCUGUCUACCAAGCGUCGGACAUGUUUGCUUGAAUGAAAAUAAGCUGUCAAUAGAAAUUAGUUGUCAAUUAUUUUUGAAUAAGCAAUAUCAAAGACAAAAUUAAGUGCCCGUUUAACUGAUGAGUUCUCGUCCGAAACCGCUGAAGACUCAUAUUGAGUCCACAAAUUAUACACAUAGAGUUUAAUGAAGACCAAAUGCUUGUGAUAGUUUGAAAAAUAACAUAUUUAAAUUGUGCAUCUGAACGUAGAAAAAAUACAUUGAUCAGUACCGCCUUUCAGCCAAAACGCGCUACUGCUACAGAGAAGUACAUAUAAAAAAAUACAUUGAUCAUCAAUGAUCUUUUUGUAUAGAAUCUAAAUCGUCAAUAGGAAUCUACCACCGAUUUAAGAACCGGCGAAGACUCCUAUUGCAGCCACAGAUCCUACACAUAGAGUUCAAUGAAGACCAAAUGCUUGUGAUAGUUUGAGAAGUAACAUAUUUAAGGUGGUCAAAUUCUUGUUAGGGGAGCGAGGUGGGACUAAAAAUAGCGCGUGCCACAACCUCUUUAGUACCGGUUCGUGCCACGAACCGGUACUAAAGAUGCUGAUGCCCGGCCAGCACCUUUAGUACCGGUUCGUGGCACGAACCGGUACUAAAGAUUCACAAUGAACCGGUACUAAAGGUCUCCUCCCGCCUAGUCAUUUGAACCGACACUAAUGGACGCAUUAGUGCCGGCUCAUAUGCAAACCGGUACUAAUGUUUUUCAUAUUUGACCCUUUUUCUACUAGUGUCAUGUUCAUGAACCCUUUUGUCCCAAAAUAAGUGUCAUGGUUUUAGUUUUAAAUUUAAACUAAAAGCACGACACUUAUCAGGGAGUAUAGUACGUAGUUAGUACAGAAUAUUUACCCGCAAUAUAAGCGUUAGCAAAGCUUUCUCUUCUUGUGCUUGGAGGUUUUAGUACAUGCGCUCACCAGCCUCUUCUUAUAGGCAGACAGGUGCGCUACCUUGUCAGUGAGAGUAGAAGAGUGGGCGGCGAGCUUGGACAUCAAAUCCUUCAACAGAGCAGGGCAGCUUCUGGAGACAUGAUCGAUCGAAGUCGUGUGUCGAUCGCCAUGGCCUCGUCUAGUUUUUUUUUUUGAGGGGGAGGCCUCGUCUAGUUUGGUGGGAGAGUUGAUGAGCAAGUCAAAGCACGCGUCCUNNNNNNNNNNNNNNNNNNNNNNNNNNNNNNNNNNNNNNNNNNNNNNNNNNNNNNNNNNNNNNNNNNNNNNNNNNNNNNNNNNNNNNNNNNNNNNNNNNNNNNNNNNNNNNNNNNNNNNNNNNNNNNNNNNNNNNNNNNNNNNNNNNNNNNNNNNNNNNNNNNNNNNNNNNNNNNNNNNNNNNNNNNNNNNNNNNNNNNNNNNNNNNNNNNNNNNNNNNNNNNNNNNNNNNNNNNNNNNNNNNNNNNNNNNNNNNNNNNNNNNNNNNNNNNNNNNNNNNNNNNNNNNNNNNNNNNNNNNNNNNNNNNNNNNNNNNNNNNNNNNNNNNNNNNNNNNNNNNNNNNNNNNNNNNNNNNNNNNNNNNNNNNNNNNNNNNNNNNNNNNNNNNNNNNNNNNNNNNNNNNNNNNNNNNAGGUGGCGGCCGGGCGUUUUUGCUGGUUCUCGCGCGCGCUCGAGGAGGGGUGUUGACUCGCGGUGGAUCUGGGGGCUGAGCUCGGGUCGGGCGGCGGCGUUUGGCCCGUCAGCGCGGAGAUGGUGGCCCGCCGGUCGGUGCAGAGGCGGCGUCUCGCAGGUGCUGCUGC
Molecule: long non-coding RNA, 70825 nt
Filed under: Triticum aestivum (bread wheat)
Lineage: Eukaryota; Viridiplantae; Streptophyta; Magnoliopsida; Poales; Poaceae
Description: long non-coding RNA (TAES_LNC003944)
Source: RNAcentral